AUAUAUAUAUAUAUAUAUAUAUAUAUAUAUAUAUAUAUAUAUAUAUAUAAUGUAUUUUAAUUAUAUAUAGACUUUAAUUUAAUUUGGGCUAUUAUUGUUGGCCCAUAAAAUAAACCCAACAAGUACAACCGUGCAAUUGAGCCCAACUCUAAAUUUACAUAACACACUCUCUCUUUCAGACUUUCACUGUUGCACAUAACCCUAAAACAUGAUAAUAUUCAAAUUUUCAAAUCCCUAAUUUUUUUUCCUCUCUCUCUCUCUCUCUCUGAUCCUCACCCAGUCAGGCAGUCACCCUAGCUCACAUUUCUUAUAAUUAUUUUGUAUUUUGAACUAUUGAACAUGUUGUAUCAAAUUAUAGGUAAUGUUCUAUAAAAAUUAAACUAUUGAUUAUAUUAUGUCGAGAAUUUCAAUCGGCUCGUUUAGAGCUCGAGCUCGGCUCGACUCGAAAUUAGGCUCGCUCGAGUUCGGCUCGAAUUAAUUUCAAGCCGAGCUUGAGCCUAAAUUUAGGCUCGAAAUUAAUUUCAAGCCGAAUUUGAGCUGACAUAAGCUCGCUCGAGCUCGGCUCGUUUCCACCCCUAACUGCAGCACAUUAAAGGAUGAAAGAUUGGAAGAGUUUUAGAUUUUUUGAAUCUUUCCAAACAUAAAAAUAUGUGUUUUUGCAUUUUUGGACACCAUAACUUCAAACUAAGCUUAUAGAAUUAAUUUUAACUGUAAAUUAUUUUAAGAAAAAAUUUCAAAUAUCAUUCCUGUGGUUUCAUAUUUUUUCACUUUAGUAUCAUGUGGUUUAAAAUAUAUUAAUUUAGUAUCCUGUGAUUUUAUUUUUAUUUUUUUUAUUAUCAAUUUCACUAAUUUUUUUCGUUAAAUCAGUGACAAAGUUAAAACUAAAGGGUAAUAAAAUAAAUAUUUAAUAAACCUAGAUAGGGUAUGUGAAGUUUUUGUAUAUAAUUUAAUAAAAUAAUUAACGAAAAAACUGACGAAAAGAUAAAAAUGAAAUUAUAGAACACUAACUUGAUACACUUCAAACCACAGCAUAGUAAAGUGAGAAAGUGCGAAACCACUGGGGUGGUAUUUAAAGUUUACCCUUAUUUUAAAUCAGCUAUUCAAUCUCCUAAAAAUUUGAUUUUACUAUCUUAUCUUUUAAUUUGUUUGAUUUGAGUCAUUAACUUCAAAACUUUAAAUUAAUUAUUUACUUUAAUAAAUUUAUUAUUAUGAGAAUUGCAUGAAGAAUAUAUUAAUUAAAUAUAUAAAAAUCAGAAAUGCAAAUAAAUUUAAAUGUUAAUUAGAUAGUAAAAUCAAAAUUUUGGAAGGAUUGAAUAAUCGAUUCAAAAUGAUUCAUAGUUCAGAUAAAUUUUGUAUAUUUUACUAUAAAAAUUUUAAUUAAACAAUAAUUAAAGUUUCUUCAGCAAAAUUAAAAAUACCAGAACAAAAUUAAAAGAAAAUCCCCUAUUUUGGGUUCCUCCUAUUAAUUAAUGUACAUAAUAAUAACAAAUAUAAUACAAGCCAGGUAGAUAUAUAUUGUCAUGCGUACGUUCAAUAAUUAGUUCUCAUUAUUAAUUCUUUAUACAAAAAUGUGCUCUUGUCCCCUCAUAUGAUUGGGGUGCCAAUUUGCAUUAUAAGACACGGUUGAACAUUAAUUUUUAGAGUCGAUAUAUAUAUUGCUGAUAAAUUGAUAAAUAUGUAUUAUACUUUACAUCUAUUUAAUAGAAAAUAAGUUCAAAAAGUAUAUUUAAUAUUUCAGUUAUGUGCAUGAUAAAUUUGAAAGACAUGUAAAAUUGACAGAUGAGAUAAAAUAAAAAAAUUUAGAAUCAUUUUUGAUAAAUAAAAAGCUGGCUCAAAUAUAUGCUUGAUAUAUAUAAAAUAUUUUUAAACUGUGCGUAAAAACUUAUUCAUACAUUAUUUAUGUAUUCUAAGGAAAAAAUAAAAAUAAAAAGACUUAUGGAAAGCCUAAGCAAUUUUUAGGAGUUCUCCAGCAAGAAAGAAAGGCUGAUAUAAACCAUGAAAUUUAUUUUACUACUUAUAUAAAGAUAAAAGCAUAUAUAACUUAUCUGAGUUACGGACUAUUUUGAGUUGACUUAUCAAAUCUUUCAACAUUUUGAUUUUACCUUCCAACCUUUCAAUUUGUUUAAUAUGAGUAAGUCAAUUAACAUUACUUUGACUUUAAAAUUUAAAUGCGUCAUUUAUCUUUACAAAUUUAGCUAGUAUAAAUCAUACAAUUUCACAACUAUAAAUUCAUUAAAAUAGAUAAUUAACUUAAAUUUUAAAGUCAAGAACAAAUACAUUGAAAAGCUAGAUAGUAAAAUCAAAAAAUUUUAAAAAUUAGAUAGUCAAAUUAAAGUAAUCUAUAAUUCAGAUAAGUUUUAUACGUUUUUAUCUAGAAAUUAUCAAUGUUUUAAGGAUCGGAUCGAAUAGCAAUUCGAAAAUAUUAUUGGGUCAAGAGUCACUACUUCGACAAAUGGAUCAUGUCACCGCAACAUCAUAAAUAUUUAUUUAUUAUUUUCAAAUUUUAUUAUGUUAAAAAAUAUUCAUAUAUUAGUGAUUCUACUAUCAUACUUAAUUAUAAAUUAUUAAUUUUUAAACUAAAUUAAGUAAAUAUAAGUUUUCAAGUUUUAAUUUUUGGAAUACUAAUCUGUGCUAAAAGAAAAUAAAAUCAGCCAUUGGAUUUUAACCGGAUCACCAAUUUGACAGUUGAACUGUCCAUUCAGAUUGUUUAAAAUAAUUUUUUAACUUAUUCGAUUUAGAGAGUUGAACUGAACUGCUUUAUGAAUUCGAUCACGUUCAGAUAAGUACAAUCGACUAAUUUCACCCGAUUUUUAAAUUAUUAUUAGAAAUUAUAAAUUAGCGGCGCACAUCCGCCCGCCUCCUCAAGUGGAGAGAGCUCACAGUGAUGGAAUGCAGCAAGCAGUUGCGCCGUCGUCUUUUCAAGUGUUGACGGGCGACCAUCCGCCAUUAAUUAUUCGGCUCAUCCGGGCUGGACCACUGGUUGGUGCAACGUUGGCCGGUAGGAACCUACUGCUUGGACAGGGCUCACCAUGUCAUCCAUAGACCACACUUUUUUUUUAUUUUUCCUUCCUUUUAAUCUGUUCUCUGUAAUCACAUAACUUUUCAUUCCAAAAUACGAAUGUACGCACACUCUGAAACCUACAUUAAAAAGUUUGGAAAUUAAAUCUCCGAAGAUACGAGCACAUGGAGGUCAAACUCUCGACCUCUACGAUAUCUACUAUGUACACACUGACGGCAAAUAUAUUUUUUAAAUAGUCCGUGCUCCGCCUUAUAUUUAUGCUAUUUGUUCGAUAGAAAGUCAUUAAAUUUAGAAAUAAAAUUAUUCGACUUAUUAGAAUUUUUCAUAUUAGCAUAUAAGAAGAUAAAAAAUAUUACAACCGCUAACUUUUAUUACUUUUUUAAUUUUGCAAUUAAUUUCGAUAUUAUUCAGGACGAAAUCAGCUAUGGCUCUUAAAAUAGUAGAGUUAUACACGCCAAACAAAGAACAAAAUUUAAUAUUUAUGACCGAAAAAUUACUUCAUUUUUUUUUUUUCUAUUUGUGCACACAUUCUUAUGGAAUAGAGUGCCUCCGCAUGGCUGUCCGGUCCAUGGAGAACGUGGUGGACCAGAUUCAGGCAACAACUUCACGUUCAUGGGUGGUUGGGUGAUCCCAAUUGGAGCUGGUGUUUUCACUACCUGCCGUAUCCGUGUGGAGCCCACUCGUCACGCUGUCGGAUCCUUUCCCGCCCAAGUGGAGUACAUUUGAAAAAGAAUUUUUUACAAAAUAACUCCCUAAAAUUUCAUAUAUAAUUUACAAAAGCGGCAAUUUCAUAAUUUACAAAAAGGGCAAUUUACAAAUAGCCUAUCAAAAUUAUAUUUGAAAAAUUAAUCCUUUUUCGCCACAUAGGCGCGUGGGUGGUUCUAUAAAAACGAUGAAUCAUUCUUCGUCUUUCACUUAUUUACUAUUUCUUUCUAUAUCUCAUAUAUAAUACUAACAACCAUAUAAAAAUUUUAACAAAUCAUAUAUAAUCUUAAUAACCUGAAAAUUUUAAUAAUUUAUUCAUAUAAUUUUAUAUAAUCUUAACAUCUUAAAAAUUCUAAUAAUUUAUUCAUACAAUUUUAUAUAAUCUUAACAGUUUGAAAAUCCUAAUAAUCUAUNUCUUAAAAAUUCUAAUAAUUUAUUCAUACAAUUUUAUAUAAUCUUAACAGUUUGAAAAUCCUAAUAAUCUAUUCAUACAAUUUCGUAUAAUCUUAGCAACCCGAAAAUUCUAAUAAUCUAUCCAUACAAUCUUAACAAUCAAAUAAAAAUUCUAAUAAUCCACGUAUAGUUCUAACAACCUCACUUUUUUCUAUUUAUCGCCUUUAAAAGAAAUAGGAGAAUGCGGUGAACGAUGGGAGAAUGCAGGGAACAAUUUACUACGUUUAAAAGAUAUAAGAGAACGCGGUAAACGAUUCAUCGCAUUUAGAAAAAAAACCCACGUGGCUCCUACGUCGCGAAUAGAGGGUUAGUUUACUAAAUAUAAAUUUGGCAGGAUUAUUUCACAAAUAAUAAAAUUUUGGAGAGUUAUUUUAUAAAAAAAAGUCUUUUGGAAAACCUUUAUUAAUUAUAUAUAAACUUAAAAUAAAAUUUUAUACAUUUUUAUAAAUUUUAUGAAAAUAAUUCUUUAACCCGCUAAAAAUUCUAAUAUUUUAAUUUAAUAGCUAUUUUAUCCUUAAGUCUUAGUCCACUGUGAUUCGUAAGGAACUACAGUUUUCAUAUCGUAUAAUAAUGAGAACAGUAGUGAUUGGAGUGAUAGUAAAGCGCAAAUUGAAGGAAAGCAGACGAGAGUAGUUGAUAGAGAAAUCAGUAGGUAUGGAGACCCAAAAUUUUAUCGAAACCUGUACGGAGCGGUUUUAUUCGAUACUAAAUAGAUACAAUUUCAAUUACAGAUAUAAAAAAUAAAAAUCAACGAAUUUCAAGUUCAGGUAUGGGUUUUGUCUAUACCCAAUCCGAACCCAUACCUGAAUAGAUUUUACAUUAUAUAACAUGUGAAAAAAAAUAUUUUUUUUUAACUAUUGGAUCUUCAUUCAAUGAUAAAUAAUGAUUAUUUUACUAGUCAAAUCCUAAUAGAUCUCCAAUCCGGUCGGUAGGCCGUUUUAAAUCUCCCAUUGUUCUUCUCCUCCCUCAGUUUUUACUGGCAUACCCAAAGAAGGUGUAGUGCUUCUUCUUUCGACCCUUCCCAGAAAUCCUAACGACCUCAUCAAGCGGUUUGCAUCCUUUGGUAAAUCGUUUGCUUCUUCAUCCUCUUUUGCCUUUCCCUUAUCGUCGUUGACCGCACCACCACCACCACCCCCUCAUUUUCACUUCUUGCCGUUUGAGCUCUCCCUCUCCCUUGCCCUCUCCAUCUUUUCUUUGUCGUCGUCAUUCACAUGAAGAUACUUCUUACUUUUCUCUUUUCUCUUAGUCGCUUUGCACUCAUUGUCGCCGGCUCUUGCUAUGAUCACUUCGGCUCAUGUUUGCCUUCUUUGUUGCUGGUAGAGACAUAGGUGAAGUCGGUUUAGGUUUUCGAAUUUGGGCUUGGGCUUAGAUUUGGGUUUGGGUUUGGGUUUCGAAUUUUUGUUCGGGUUUGGUUUUGAAUAUAUUGGGGUGAAAAUGGUUAAAUACUGUUGGAUAUUUGAUGAGAAACCAUAUACGCAUCUGUAUUUUUCCAAGUGCAAAUUUGGAUAUAGAUAUGCGUUGGAUGCUAAAUCUUUAUUAUCUAUCCAUUAAAGACAUAUUAGGAUAUGAUUGGAUAUUUUUUUGGACUCGCAUACGAAUCAGAUUUAUAUUCAAAUAUUAUUUGGAUAAUUAUAUACACUAAUAUGGAUAUAUAAAUAUGAACUAGAAUUAUGUCACAUCCGGUCUCCAGCAAAAGCACGUCCAACGUGUGCACAGACCCGCUGUGUACACCAAGCACCCCCUGAUGCACACAAGGUGUCUAAAACAACUAAAGAAAGAAGUAGGAAUAAAUCCUAAACAAGAUGAUGAGAGCAAAAGUAUAUAAUUCUACGACAUAAACAAGUCUAAUACAAAAACACAUUCACAAGAUGUAAAAUAAGUUGAACAAAAGGUACAUCUUGAAUGCUAGAAAAUCUUUAAAUAAAAUACAAUUAUAUAUACUUCAAACUAAACCAAAAGAAUGAUGUCAAUGGGUCCAUCUAUAGCAACACCGAAGAGGCUCUAGCUAGUCGCUAACCCCUUACCACGAUCCCUAGCCUCUCCUGUUGAGAAAGGCUCUAAAACAAAAAUAAGCAACCAAUGGGGGUGAGAACUAUUAAACAAUAAUUUUCAGUGGAUAAGCCGCCAAGAGUAGCGAAAUACAUUAUUAGGUUAACUCAGGCAAUAACAAUAUGUAAUAGAAAAACAAAGCACAUAGAUAAUAUUUAAAAUGAAAUGGUUUAAAUACAGUUAUGCCUCUACGUGACAAUGUCUACUAAUAUGGAUGUGGUUCUCUCGCUGUCAUAUUGUACAAGUAUAAAUAUACAAGUUUACAUGUAUGUCCAUCUUUAUGCUAAGAGCAAUAGUUAAAGACAUUUUUUUUAUUUUUCAUAUAGCUACACUACUAUACUGAUCAAUAUGUGUAUAGAUUUACUACUAUUAAGUUUGCCAAUAAAUAAUAACCAACUUGAAUGUCCAUCUACUAUGUAGGCAUCAACUAGUUCUGAUGUACAAUGUCACAAAGUAAUAAUCAACUUGAAUGUCCAUCUAUUAUAUACGCAUCAACUAGUUGUGAUGUAUAAUGUCAUAUUUAUUUAACUUUUAUCCAAUCAACAAGGGACUUACGCAUGGUAACAUCCUAGCUUGUGCCGUACCUAAUGGUCCUGUGGUAGUCAACAUUUUUCCUCUAGAAAUGAGUCUUGCAAACGGCAUUCCAUUUCGGUGCCCAAUCCCGCAGGGGCGAUUAGUCGUUGCAAAGGGUAAUUCCGGAGUGCCGACUUGUAGGGAGCGACCCUUCCAAGCUUGUAUGAAUGAGUACAAAGGUAAGUAAGCGUGAUCAUAUGCGUCAUGUCCAAGGCUAUAGGUUUCGAUCAUUACGUUUAAAAUAUGGAAUCUCAAUCAUCGUGUAAUAUACCGAAACUUUGGUAGGUUAUAUCGGACUUUAGUCAAAUUGACCAAAGUGCGUCGAGAGAAAUGGUUGGACGAAGUCCAUUUCAUAUUCCAACAAUGUUGGAAGGGUUAAAGUUGAGUUCCAAGUGUGAUAGAAAGAUUUUAGCAUUGCUCGAUGCGAAAAGGAACCGAGCACUCCCAAAACUAUAAUCUGGGCACUGCUUAACCGGUGAAGCACCAGGGCAGUACCGGUACCAGGCAGGCCACCCGAAAAGGCAGCUCUCGGGUUUGGUCACUACGCUACGGCGUACCGGUGACGGCCCCGAUGCGUACCGGUACCCCGCAGCAACUCGAGAACAGCAGCUCUCGGGUUUGGCCUGUUGAACAGAAGCGUACCGGUGACGCCCACCCACGUACUGGUACGCAGUGCUGCGAACAGCAGGGUGAGUCUACAGCAAAUAAAAUUGUUUGGAAGGUUUAUUUGCUAUUAUGGCAGUAUAUAAAAAUACCCCAACCUCUCCUCUCUCAUUCACAGCAGUGAGAACACCUUCCUCUCUCAUUUCUCUCCCUCUCUCUCUCUAGGAACUCUCUUAAAGGUGGAUCAAGAGGAGAUUUGAAGGUGGAUUUGGUGGAGAAAAAGGCAAAGGAGUGAAGCUAUCUCUUCUUCUUCUUCUUUAGCUCAAGGAAAGGAAAGCUCUUGAGGUAAGCUCCAUGAGCUCUCAUGGUAGAUAUCUAGGGUUUGGUUUAAAUGCCCUAGAAAUAAUUUUAGAUGGAUCUCUAGAUGAUUUUAAGCUUGUUUUUGCUUAUCUCCAAGAUCCAUUUGGUGCUUAUGCUUUAGGACAUUGUCAGGGCACCAAAAUUGGAGCUUUUGUUCUAGAUGGGUUUUAAUGUAAAUUGACCUUGUAGAAACCUAAUUGAAGGUAUUUCCGACGCGUUGGUGGACUCGGUUCGAAGAUCCAACGAGUCUACGCAUAAAACCUCAUUUCGACUUCGUUUGCCGUAGUCGGAAGAAAUAAACACCCAAAAAUCACGAAAAUUGAACCGUAGCACCUUAGCAACCAUACGAGGUGGGUGGUGCUUUUCGAAAUCCUCGAAUGUGUAUAUUGGGCUUCAUGCAUUGUAGGGUAAGUUGAGCAUAUAUUGGUUGUAUGUUUUUAAUGUUUUUAAUGCUAGUGCAUAUGAAAUGUUGUGAACUAUAGAAAACUUGUAAAAUCUUAUGUAUGCAUGAAUGAUGACAAGAAUAUAGAUGAGGCAAAGAAUCUAGUGCAUUAAAGAACAAGUGACAUUAUGACAUAAAUGAUUGAGUGUUGAAAGUGUGGCAUUAGUGAAUAUAUAUUGAAUGCUAAAGAUGAACACCUAGUGUGUGGCAUUAAAGAGUCAAGAAUACUAGUGUACAAGUGUGGCAUUAACAAGAACAAUAAAUGCAAGAAAAUGAGACACUAGAUGUGUGGCAUGAGUAAGAACAUAGAAUGCAAGAAAUUGAGAUAGUUGACAUUAUGACACAACGUGGCAUAACAUCCUUAUAGUUAAGGGUCAAAUAAGCAUUGCAUCCUUACAGUUAAGGAAAGAAUUGAACUUGAAAAUCCUUAUAGUUAAGGAUUGGAUCAUACUCGCCAAGUUUUGGCUUGAGGGCAGUCGCACCCCUCGAGCGAUGAGCUCCGAGUAGUCAUCAUUGGGUCGUAGUAGUCUCCCCCGAAGACGGUCCCAUCGGGUAGUAGUAGUCUCCCCGAUGCUUGGGAUUAUGAGUUGGUGAGUUGUAGGCAAACCUACGGGUUAGCCAUGAGAUUGGGUAUUGAAAAUGUGAUCUUGCAUGCAUCAUGAGCAUUCUAUUUGAGCAUCAUUGUUGAUUAUAUCUUGUUCAGACAUAUUAGAUGUAUUUGUAUAGUUUGGUUACUAUCUAUCUGUUUAUUCUUCUAUUAUGCCUGAUUUAGACCUAGUGAGAAAGUCGGCGAGGUCGGCGGCCGAACUCACUGGAAACUUUGUUGUAGUUCUCACCCCACUAUUUUUCAUAGCUAGGACCGAGUGAGCCGGCCGACGAUCGCGGUAAAGGUAUCGCGCCAUAGACAGUGACCACCCGAGAUGGUUUUAUACAUGUACCCUCUUUAUAUCAUCUUCUGUAUUUGAUGAUCAUAGAUGUUAAAUGUAAAAGCUUAUUUUGGAGAUCAUGUGAUAUAAAAGAAUUGAUGAAUAGAAUGUAAAAGAAUUUAAAAUUUGAAUGCAUAUAUGUGUGUGGUUAAAAGUUAAUCAUAGUACUUGUAUGGAUGUUUAGUUUAGAAUAUUUUACUUUUGGCUACUGCUUGCCCUCGUGCAAGCCAUGUAUGGAUAUUUUCCCUUGUGCAAUCUAUAUAAUUGAUUUGAACUUGUGUUGAGCCUUGGGCGGACAGGGGAGAUACUGUCCAUUCAGCGUCUGUUCGACGUGCCCGAACCGACCAAAUAGGCCGGUCUCGGGGCGUGACACAUCGACUCAAGGAUCUGGUACUAUAACAUAUAUGUUACAAUCCUGUUUUCAAUCAAUGUGGGAAUGCAUCACCUACCAAUAUGCAACAUGUUUCAAGUAUGUGAAGGUUUACAACUCUUUAUCUCUCAUGCAUAAUCAUGGGGGGUUACAAGUGUAUACUAUUUUCUCUAUAGUAUGUAAGAUAACAAUUUACUAACGCCAUAUUCAAAGAAUACGAGGAUGUCAACCAAGUUCAUAUUUCAUGUUAGACAUGUGCCUUACUAUAUGAGCCUCUACCAUAUAGAAAAGAAAGUUUAUUAUGCAAGCAAUUACUUUUCAUUUGACUAAGCAAUUUUAUACAUUUGCCAUUCAUGUCUUCUUAAUCAAGUCGUUUCAUUGAGCUUGUGAUGUUAAAUGCACUUGAUAGCCCAACUAUAAACAUACCUAUAGUAUGCAUGAGGGUAAUAUAUCCAAUUACUAGAACAAAUAUAGAGGAUAGGUUCCCAAACAACUCAUAUGUUAUAUGACAUGGAUGCAUUUUAUCUCAUAUAACUCUACUACAUAGAGCGUAUAAAUUUUCAUGUGAAGUAUAACCAAAUCAUAUGCUCAAAAAUUCAAUAAUGCUAUAAGGUGCACAGUAAACUCUUUAUUAAGUUCUAUAACAUAAUAGGAGACAUAGAGGGAGUUCACCCAUUUCGGUGAAUCAAACUCACCGGAUAACCUUUGAAAACUUGAUCGUUUCCCAAACGAAGUUGUCCUCUAGACUUCUAGCAUUCUAAAAAUUUUUUUUCAAGAAAUUACAAGCUUCUAAAAGGUUUACCACGAAUUCACCAAAUCAAGUAGAAAAUAGAUAAAAAUUAUCUUAAUCCAAAAAAAACUUAUGCAAAGCUCAAAUCAAUGUAAUGGAGCUUCAAAACCAAACUACAAGAGUGUUCAACACUCAUCAAUUCCACUCCAAAAGCUCAUAAAACGAAAACCCCAAAACAAACCCUAGUUUCUACAAAACUAGAUUUUCUACCAAAAUCUCUUGCAAAUCUCCCAAAUAGAGAGUACAAGGAUGCUACUAACCUCAAAUCAAGUGUCAAACCAAGCUAUGAGGUGUUAGGGGAAGAAAAAGAUCAAACCCAAAUAUUAGAGAGUUAGGGAAAGAAAUUCAAGAGAGAUAAGAGAAAGAGCUCACUUCUUCUCUUCUCUUUAGCUUCGGCACAAAAAGAACAAUGAGAGGGAUGAAGGAAUAUAUUAUAUGAUAUAACAAUAUCCCGUAAGGGCCCUCAAAAACUCAAAAAGUUGCAAAACUGCACGAAAUAGUUUUUGCAGCAUUGAGUACUGAACCCACCCAAUGCAGUACCGGUACUCGGUUUAGUACCGGUACAUAGAGCCAAGUUCCGCAAAACCUGAGAGCUCUCAAAUCUAACACUCAACUGGGUUCUGGUAUCCAGUCUAGUACCAGUACCCGAGAUAAAAACUGCAAUUUUAUAGAUUUUGAUCUUCGGAGUCCGUUUUUGCGCUUAUUAAGCCUCGAGAACACUCUUAAGCUCUCCAAAUUUAGUCAAAAUCUUUAGAAUAGUAUAAAGUACUAUUCUCUCACUAAAACUCCGCAAUUUGAUGAAGUUCAGUGUGCUACAAAUUAGAAGGAAUAAAACACAAUAUAACUAUAGUUUUACACUCAUGUUCAAACUUUAUAUGUCUAUAUUUUAUUCAAUAACAUAUAAGACUUGACAAUUAUAAAGCAAUUUUAAUAUGAAACGUAGGGCCGUUUGGUUUAAGGUUUGUAUGUCAUGAUCCAAGUCCGCCAAUUGGGACUGCUCGAGCAUAUGCAACAUACCCGCUAAACAGGCAAGAUUUGUUCUAUUUGCAUGAAGCGGAACAUUUACAAACAUGUACGAAGCAUAUAUACUAUGAAUAUAUAAAGCAUCAGAGUAAUACUACUGAAUUUAACCAUUACAAAUUUAAACUCUUUAAAAUUUAUAUUCCAAUGCUCUCCAAAACAUAUAAUAGUUUUGCUUGUACAAAAAGGGUACUUUUAAACUAAUCAUGGUUUAUCUACUCUGCAACGCUCUUGCCGUGGUCCCGCGCCUUAUCGGUGAUAGUAGGAUUUGAAAAACAACAACCACAAAGAGGUGAAAAUUUUAAAUAAGUUCUUAGUAAGUGGAACUGAUGAAAGUGGCACUCUACACUCACUCGGUCCAACAAAGGCAUUAGUAGCAAGUAAAUAACAACAACUAUUACUACAAUAAAAAUGCAAUAAGCAAGAAAUAUCUAAUAUGCCUCAAUAUAUACAAUAUGCCACUAAAUUUAUUAUGUCCUUUACCUACACAUACAUCUCAAUUAAUCCUUUACUUUAACCAACUUAUUAGUUUAAUAUCAUUUCUUAUUAGAACUCAUGGGAAGUUAAUUACUCUUGGACUUCUCUCUAAUCGGUAGGUAAAUAGGGUCGAUUGCUCUUUUACUCUCCUAAAUAUCUCAGCGGGAGUUGAUUGCUCUAGAACUUUUUCUCUCUUUCUUUGACACUUUUGGAAGGUCGCACAUAUUUUACCACAUUGUUUGUUUUUCAUUUUGUUAUUCUCUAGUUCAUAUUUAGCUUAAAAUUCAUAUACCACUAUAUUUACACCUUAGGUUUCAACUUAAGUUGAAUGCCACACUUGUUCCCUAUGUUCCAAUAUUCACAUAAUAUUUUAUGCAUGUCUCAAAUCUCUCUCUCUCUCUCUCUCUCUCUCUCUCUUUUUACUAUCCAAAGAUUAGAAACCCUAUUUUUGUUAAGUCAAAUGCUAAGAAUACAUCUUGACCUACAAGAUCUACUAGCAUACAACUAUAAUGCAUUCUAGCUUACAUAUUAUAUAUAAUACAUAAAUGCAAUUAAAAAAAACUUUAUAUAAAGAAAAAAUCAAAUCCAUUUCGGUGUUUCUCCUUUCUCUCGAUUCUUCAAGAAGAGAUGCUUCUUGACCUCUUAAGAAUGCCAAAAAAAUUCUAAAAGUAGCUCUAACAAAGUCAAAAAAUCCAUCAUUUCAGAUAACUUCAAAACAAAACUCUAAAAAUACCAACUCAACUGUCCACCUCAUAGCACAAAGGGUUAAGAGGGUUGUCUUCAUCUUAGCUAAGCUCUCCAUUUUUGAUAAUUUGAAAUUUUUUAGCCGAAGUAAUGGGGGUAGAGAAAUGAUUUACGAUGACAUGGAGGAGGGAGGGGGGGGGGGGGUGGAAUGAUUUACAAUGAAGAUAAAGCUAGUCUUGGUGAAACUGAUGGGAACCUACGGCGAGCAGGAAAAAAUGAUGUUAAUCACCAACCGCAUUGAUUAGAAGAAUCGUUCCACAAUUUAGAGCAGUAGUUGCACUAUUGUGUCUGCAGUAGCUCUAUAUUGUGGGUAUAAUACACUAUCUUAAUAACCUAUUGCACUAUAUAGAAAAAUCAUUACACUAUUUAGAGUAGUUGUUGCACUAUUGCAAUCGAAGUAGCACUGAAUUAAAGGAAUAAUGCACUGUUUUAGAUUUUAUGGCACUGUUUCCAUUUAAGUUGCACAACUUGUUUGCCAUGUGGUACCAUGUUGCAAAUGCACGACUUGUCUUCCUCCUCCCCUUCCUACCCGUAAACCCUUCUACUUCUCCAUCCUGCUAUACUUUUUCCUCUUCUCUUUUGCAAACAGUGAGCGCAGCGAAGAGCGUUGGAAUAAAAUACCAGACGUGUGGCAAAAAAGGAUAUGAAGAUAGAUAGCAGCAUAGAGGAGGACAAGUACUACAACACAAUUAGGUUAUAGAGACACAUGUUUGGGACACUUUUGAGUAAGUGUCCCAUUUAUGCUAAAACUUAAAAAAAUAUUUACUUAUGCCUAAAUAUAAAGCCCAAUCUAACCAAAAUAAAAGAUUACUCUACUCAACCCACCACACCCAGUCCAUUUGACCAGAUUACAAACAGAAAAGAAAAAAAAAAAGAAAAAUCAAUUACCAUCUUUUCUUCUCUCUUCACUCAAUCCACUGAAAUUAUAGACGAAGAGCCUUUCCUGUCGUCCUCCUCCGCCACCGCAGCCAACGAGAUAGAGUUUCGGCGGUUGCUAAAUGCUUAAAUAAGUGUUGGUAAAUUAGCAGCACUCUUUUAGGUUAUAGCGACACUCUUUAACUGUCACUAUAUACCUAGCGACCCCACAUAUAGCAACACUUUUUAAAAGUGUCGGUAAUUUUAGCUAGCAGCACUUUUUUGACAUGUACCUACAUUUAAAAGUGUCGCUAUAGACCAUUUUUGUUGUAGUGAAGGGGUUUAGAAAAAGGAAUAAGCAGCACGGGACGACGAAGAGAGGGUCGUUGGGAGAGCGGAAGAAGAAUGACGAUGGAGUGGCAUAUUGCACUGAUCGGGGUGAGUGGACAGAGUUGCACUGGUUUGAGCAACGUAUUGCACUUUUUGAAGUUUGUUGCACUGCUUUACAUUACGUUGCACCAUUUGCCUCGCUUGCUGCCUGCGUUAUCUUCUUAAUAUAGCUUGAAAAAAUUUAUUUUGGAUUAAAAAGAACACCAAACAUCAGGGCUGACAAGUAGCAUGGAGCGAUUUGGCUCGAAUUUUGAAAACGUGGAGGUUGUAUAAUUUAGCGCGGACCGCAUUUAGGGCUUGUUUGUUUGCAAGGAAGUGGAGUGGAAGUGGGAGGGAGGAAGUGAUUUUCGGUAAAAAUCGACCACUUUCGUUGUUUAGUUCACCAUAAAAAAGUUACGGUUGAAGAUCUAGUUAACUAAAACAGCGUAAUUGACUUCAGCCCAUCGUGGGCCGAAGUCAAUUACGGUGAAGAGAGGUGAAGAAAAAUAAUAAAAUAAUAUACUAGGUAAAGAUAAUUAUAUUCAAAUAUAUAUUUAAUUAUGGAAUUAAUUAUUCUUUUAUUUAUUUGGCAUAUUUAAAAUAUGAUAAAAAUUGAUUAGUUAAGUUUUAAUAUUUUUUAUUUUGUUUGUACAAUAAAAUAUAAUAAAAAUUAAUUAAUUAAAUAUUAAUAUUUUUUAUUUUAUAAUUUUAUUGUUGUAUUACUAUAAUUUAGUAUAAAAAAAAUAAUUUAGUUGCUUUAAAUUAAGUUUUAAUUAUAUAAAAAUAUAAUUAUAUUAUUUUAUUUAUUAAAUUAUUUAUUAUUUAUAUAUAAAUUAUAGUUUUAUAUUUUACACUUCCUACCAAACAAACAGUAGAAGUAAUGAAACUUUACUUUCAUAAUUAUAAAACAAACGAAGAGGAAGUAGUUAUCACCGAACUCUACUUCAACCCAAAGUCUACUUCAACCUAAAGUCUAGUUUCGAUAAAACAAACAGGCCCUUAAUACCCGUCCAGACGAUAUACAGUAUAAGUAGACGUAUAUGAGGAGAUACGAAUAAGGCGGAUGGAGACGGGGAACAUUUUUAUUAGAUGGUUGAAAAUUCAGAUGGAAUUUGUAAAAUCCAGUAAGGCGACCUAUGUUUCAAAAUCUCCAAACUAGUGGGAUUUUAAUGCAAAUUGGCUUUUUAUUAAUUUAUUUAUUAAUUAAUUUAUUUUUUUCCCCCACACUCUCUCUGCAGCUUCCACGUGACGUGCUUUAAAAAGCGCGCCUCUGCCACCCAAUACAAACAAACCAACCCCACGACCAUUUACACCCCCACACCCGUCCGCCCCCCACUCUCCGACUCUGUCGGUGGCUCUCUCCUUUCUUAUCUCGCACAAGCAAGCCCCUACUCCCACCCAAUAAGGGGAAAAGGGGACGACGAGGACGCGGAGGAGCAACAAACCCUAACGUCCGUUCCCUCAUUCCUCGACGCUCCGAGGCUAGGGAGAUCUAGGGUUAGGGUUAGGAGGGCUAGGGUUUGCGCCGUCGUUGUUGUUGCGAAGAAGAUGAGGGAGAUCAUCAGCAUCCACAUCGGCCAAGCCGGGAUCCAGGUCGGCAACGCGUGCUGGGAGCUCUACUGCCUCGAGCACGGCAUCCAACCCGAUGGGAUCAUGCCGAGGUCUCAAUUUCCCUCUCAAUCAUCAGAUCCCGCUUUUCCACUACUCGGCUUUUGUGGUAGAUGUUGUGGAUGGGUGUUGAUGAUGCUGCUCGAAUUUUCUGCGAUUUUUUCUUGUUGUUUUUCCCCCUUUUUUUGGGUUUUCAUCGGUUCUUAUUGGUGAAAAAUGUUGUGAAUGUGUCCUGUUGCUCGUCGAAUUUCUUCAAUUUAUGGGGUUUUUUCGUUGAUUUUUUUGGUGCUCAUGUUGUCAUCAAAUUGCUUUUACAGAGGAAUAUGCCGGAUCCGUAGAUUUAAUCUAAGGUUUCGUUUUGAUCCAAAUAAAAUGAUGAAUAUAUUUGAUUAAUUGAUGUUUGAAACAGGAAAUAAACAAUGAACGAGAGAUUUGCAAAUGUUGUUAUCUUUUACGUGAAUCUAUUAGCAGUUCAGCGUGUAAAUAUAUUAUGUUUUUUUCUUUACAAUGUGGCAAAUACUUGUUUUUUUUCCCCUACUUUUUUCAGUCCCUCUCUUUUUCUUUCCUUUUUUUCUCAAAUCUUUCGGAGCUUAUUCGCUUUUACUGGUAAUUGUUGAUUUUCUUUUGAACUUAAUUGUUUUUUUUUUUUUUUUUUUUUGAGGAAAGCUUCUUCGUUCGUUGCAUCAAUGUUUCUUGUGUUUCUACUCUUUUUUCGUUUUUAGUACUUGAAUCCCUAAUUAUUGCCAUCAACUUGCUUUCCGAAGAAGAACUUUCCUGAUUGUGAAAUGGUCCGUUAGAGUAUAUCCGUAAACGGUUCCACAUCUAGAUCCAGAUCUGGAUCUGGAUCUGGGUCAAUAAAUUUAAUCAGGGUUUGUUUUCGUAGUAUUAAAGAUCUGUUUGAUCAAAUACAACUCAGGAGGUAAUAGAGAUCCAUUUGAUCUGAUAAAACUAAGGAUUCUAUUCAUUUUUUGUUGUUCUCUUUCAUGUGAUCUAUGAGCAGAUUAGGGUGUAAAUACAUGUUUCUUUCGAGAAAAUAAACGGGAACAGAUGUUUGAUAUAGUUCCAAGAUCUUGUAUAAUUGGGAGGUUCCUCUUCUGUUUCGUGCCGAGGGAACGUUGCUGACAUACUUGAUUUUUUGCUUACAGUGAUACAUCGGUUGGAGUGGCCAAUGAUGCUUUCAACACGUUCUUCAGUGAGACUGGUGCCGGCAAGCACGUGCCGAGGGCCAUCUUUGUGGACUUGGAGCCCACCGUCAUAGACGAGGUCCGCACCGGAACUUACCGCCAGCUCUUCCACCCAGAGCAGCUUAUCUCCGGCAAGGAGGAUGCGGCCAAUAACUUCGCUCGUGGCCACUAUACUGGUAAUCUUUCUUUCUUCUAGUCUUGUCCUACUGAAUUUGCUUGUAAUGGAGUUCCAUGUAAAAGUAAAAUUGUAUGGACUCGAAGUAUAGUGUAUUUUAAAUGGGUACCUAAAAGUAUACAAAUUUUUUAUAAUUGUACCUAACCUUCUACGUAACCUUCUAUCCAACCUUGCAAUAUAAUUGAUUGAAUAACCUCACUGUUAAAACUUAACAGUGUUUUUUAAUUUUCUUAAUGAAAUAUUCUAGAUCUUAAUGGAAUAUAUUGUUACUUACCAGAAUGUUAAAUUUGUACUAUAACACAAGUAAUAGAGGAGUAAAAUGAAAGGUUUUAACAUUCAGGUAUUUAGAUCUGUACAUUUUUACCUAAAGUAAAAUAUUGGACUUCUUUGAAAGCUUACACUCCUAGAUAAUGAUGUAAAUCAAUUUUGUAUUUAAGAUAAUGGUAUUGUAAAUUGAUUUUGUGUUAACAAUCUCCCUCAUGUGUUGGUAGAUUUUGAUGCGGUCCCAGUAUGUGAUUGGAAACUGGAUUGGUGGAAAUUAAGUGAAACUAGAGCCUUGAAACUUGAAAGAUUUGGAUGCAAGAUCAUUUGACCUAAUGCCAUGUUAAUGAAUUGAGAUUCUUUUUAUUAGGCCCGUGAUUUAGACUUUAAGUUAACAGAUUUUUUUUAAAAAAAAUGUAAAUGACGGAUUGACCUGGUGGAUGUGGACUCAAGGCCUUCUGCUCUAGAAUGACAUAAAAAACAUAAAAGCUUAAGCUACUAUAUAAGUGUGGUUUUAUUGGUGUGAUGCAGUUGGGAAGGAGAUUGUCGAUCUCUGCCUUGAUCGUGUGCGGAAGUUGGCGGACAACUGCACUGGCUUGCAAGGCUUUCUAGUCUUCAAUGCUGUUGGUGGUGGUACUGGAUCUGGAUUGGGGUCUUUGCUGUUGGAACGAUUAUCUGUGGAUUAUGGGAAAAAAUCCAAGCUUGGUUUCACCAUCUAUCCUUCCCCACAGGUUUGAAUUGUUUGAAGUUCAUUAUAGUUUUGCAUGAAUGCGGAAAACCGUGGUGCUUAGUUCCUUUAAUUUCUUUGUAGGCUAAUUUUUAUGCGUCAUUUUAGUUUUCUGCUAUAGAAAUAUGUUGUUCUUAACAUAACUUUCUGCACUUGUGCUUUGCAUUUGAAGAUAUCUCUAAUUAUUAUGUUUAUCUUGUUUAGAGGCAUGUUGUGCAGAGAGAAGUUCCACUGGACAAAUUGCCAUCAGGGAAAAUUUUAAUUUAAACCAAGAUGCAUCCGAUGAUCUCAUGCUAAUUUCUUACUAGCAUAUGCUUCAUAGGAGAAAUCAUGCUAAUAAGCAAAAUUCCUUCUCUCUUUAAUAGUUUUCCAAGGCAAAUGUAGUUCAAAAUUGUGUGUUCAAUAAGUUGGUCAUUUAAUUUUCAUAAAAUUGAAGUAAAUAUUUUGAUAUAUUAAUGUUAACAUAUUUCUUUUGUUUGGUAUUAAAAAAUACAGUGCAUCAAAUAUUGGGUCACAACUGGGCUAUUAAAAUUUGUGAGCUUUAGUCUUGUUAAAUUGCACAACAGGGCUAUUCAAAUUUGUGAUCUGUACUCUUGUUUAAACAUGCGAAGAUUUUCAUACUGGAUAAUUUGGAUAAAUCGGAUAGUGAAUAAUGUUCCUACAAGUGCGGCAAACUAGAAUGGCAAUUAGAAUCCUUGCUCUCAAUUCUUCUGCUGAACUAUUGGGUGCAUGCCACCAUGAUUUCUCCAUCACAUGCUGCUAUAGGCCAACCCUAGCAUUCAAGUCAUUGUUUACAAGAAUCUCAUGUGUGCAUCUGUGAUUUACGAAAAAGAAUAAGAGAGUAGGUUUUGUCUGGUAUGUAGGGAUGGUUCGUGGUAGAUAUUGGUUGUUUUCUCAUAACUUCCCUCUUUAUUAUUCGAUCGUUGUGUUUUAACUUUUUCAAUAUAGUGACCUACGCUCUAAACCUUCAUAAAUCACAGGUUUCCACAGCUGUUGUGGAGCCCUACAACAGUGUCCUUUCCACUCAUUCCUUGCUCGAGCACACAGAUGUCGCAGUUCUCUUGGACAAUGAGGCCAUCUAUGAUAUCUGCCGUCGAUCCCUUGACAUUGAGAGGCCCACUUACACCAACUUGAACCGUCUGAUCUCUCAGAUCAUUUCUUCAUUAACCACAUCUCUAAGGUUUGAUGGAGCCAUUAAUGUUGAUGUUACCGAGUUCCAGACUAACCUCGUGCCCUACCCCAGAAUCCAUUUCAUGCUCUCCUCCUAUGCCCCUGUCAUAUCUGCCGAGAAGGCAUACCAUGAGCAGCUCUCGGUGCCCGAGAUCACGAAUGCUGUUUUUGAACCUUCGAGCAUGAUGGCUAAAUGUGAUCCCAGGCAUGGCAAGUACAUGGCAUGUUGCUUGAUGUAUCGUGGUGAUGUCGUUCCAAAGGAUGUUAAUGCUGCUGUUGCAACCAUUAAGACCAAGAGAACUGUCCAGUUUGUCGACUGGUGGGUGCUUACUCUCUUUAUCCCUGUUUUUCUUUUAGCUUUGGUUCUUUAGAAGUUGAGUAAUUCUUUGGAAAAUUUAGAUGCCUCUGUUUUAUAGUUUGGCUUUUAAAUUAACACCUAACAGUUAACAGAUUGUAAUGCUUUAGUGCAUCAGUUUGCUGUUCUGUUUGGCCCUAUUAAAACUGAGAACAUGAAAAAUCACAUAACUGAUUAAAUCACUUCAAACAAGGAUCGCUCAGUUUAAUCUAUUGAAUCCUUAUUUAUAGUUAUUCUAAAACCGUAAAAUUGCUACAAAUCCACAUGCUUAUUAAUAAUGUUCAUGCCCUAAUGGGAAAUCUAAAAAGCAAAUUCCGGUAGGAAAGGGAUUUGGUUCGAACCUAAAAAAGUAACAAGCAAUGCAGCUAAAAUGCGGUUGGGGCAUCUCUUGUUUAUAAGUACAUUGCCUGUUUUCUUAUGUUUAGGUGUCCUACCGGUUUCAAGUGCGGGAUCAACUAUCAGCCACCAACUGUGGUCCCUGGAGGUGACCUUGCCAAGGUGCAGCGUGCCGUGUGCAUGAUCAGCAACAACACCGCAGUCGCCGAGGUCUUCUCGCGAAUCGACCACAAGUUUGAUCUCAUGUACGCCAAGCGGGCUUUCGUGCACUGGUACGUUGGCGAGGGGAUGGAAGAAGGGGAGUUCUCCGAGGCGCGCGAGGACUUGGCCGCGCUCGAGAAGGACUACGAAGAAGUCGGAGCGGAGGGUGCGGAUGACGAGGGCGAAGAAGGCGAGGACUUCUGAGCUGUGUUGUGGCGUGCAGUUAGAAGUGUUGUUAGUGAUUGGUUUGUGCAGUAUGUAUACUUUCUCUCUGUUUGUCGCUUUGUUUCGUGCAGCAGAUUGUAUUGUUGUCUUCCUUUGUUUAUGUGCUGUCCGUCCUGGCUCAACAUACUGAGUGAUUGUUGAUAUUUCUUCUGCUUAUUUGUGGUUUGGCAGAGUACUGAUUGUGCUAAAAUGUGUUUUUCUUGUCUUUUCUUUGCUUUGUUCAUUAGCUUCGGCUUUUUAGAGUUGGUUUCUAACAAGAUGAUGACUAUUUUGUUACUGGCGCAGAGAAAAUUUCACUCAACAAUUGUUGUAGGAUAGUAGUGAUUAUUUGAGAUUGAGACACUAGUUACAUGUUAAUGGUUAGGUGCAGUUUCCUCUGCAUUUGUGUUUGUGUGCUACCCUGCUCUUCUUUGGUGUUGCUUCAAACUGUUAAAUACACUGUAAGUGUAUUUAUGCUUGUUUUCAAUUUUUUAUUAUUUUUUUAUUGUCAUGUGGAUUUUAUAGUAAUUAGGAGGUAGUGAUGGGUUUUUUUAGGCUAGUGAGGCUAAUAAAAAUUUCUUAUUAUAAGAGUAGAAAUUUUUAUUAUAGACUAGGUUUAAAAAAGACCGUUUGUUAAAACGGUAAAUUAUUCACUGCUUACACUUAAAUUUUUUUUUUAUAUUUGAACAUAAUUUUAAUAUUUACUGUAUAGAACUAGUUUUAUAAAUAUAUUUUUAAUAAAAUUAUUUUAUAAUUUAUAAUAUUAUUUUAAGCCUAUUAAUAAAACAAAUUUGGUGAUGAUGCACAUUGUUUCUCUUGGUUAUUUGUAUAUUUGUAUUGUGCAUUAGAAAUUACUGUAUACAAUUACUUUAUACAAUUAUUAGCAUCAUUUUAUGCAUAGUUUUAUGGAUAUGAUGAUUAAUUGAGAUUAAGAAAACACCUGCACUAACAUUUUGGGAUUAGCUAGGAUUACGCAGUUUGUUACUUGUGAGUCUACAAAUUGUUUCUCACUUUGCAGAAAUUUUCAGAUUUCGAACUCCACACAAGUAUAUGAAUUUAUAGAUCAUGUAGUAGCCAACAGGAAAACUCAUUUUUAGUCAGAAUAACUUUGCCAUAUUAAUAAUAACAAGCUCACAAAUAAUAAAGACACUAAAUCUGAAGAAUUUCUGCAACAGUUAACGCUGCGCCAUUCAGAAUUUGGCCUUCUCUCUCCUUGCUAGUUUUUUUUUUUUUUUAUUAAACAGGGAUUUACUCUAUUUGUGGAGUACAGUGGAACAAGUAGUAAAAACAGCACCUACAGAAAAAUAAAUUACAUAAGUUGAACCCACAAUCCAAACUCAAUCAUCCCCCCAGGUGGAUCUCCAGGACUCUACUUCAGCUAUGAUGGAUUUUUCCAUUUCUUCGUGCGUAACUCGUCGAUUGCGAAAGAUCCUUGAAUUUCGCUCUUUCCAAAGAGCCCAACAGGCUGUAGUAAAACAGAGGUCGAAUAGUGUUCUUGUUGUUCCCGACAGCAUAUAUCUAUUGCGAUUCCACCGGAUUGGGAUAUCCCCCGUUCGGUUAAUCACAAGGUCUGCAGAUGACCUAGCACUAUCGAGGACCAAAGCCCAAACAGAUCUCGAAUAGAUGCAUCCAAAGAGGAGAUGUUCUAGAUUUUCAUCAUUGGCGGAACAUAGCACGCAUAUUGAAGGUCCAUGUCAUCCUCGUUUAGCAAGUACAUCGGCUGUCAAGAGCUGAUUCCUCACAGCUAGCCACAUAAAUUCCUUGAUCCUGAGUGCAAUCUUGAUCUUCCAAAGAUGAGGCAGCCUACAGUCCUUGACUCCACUAAGGGCGAAAAAAGCAUAAGCAUUCCUAGUCGAGAAACAUCCUGCUGCAUUCCAUCUCCAAAUAAUAGAGUCGUUCACAUCCACGUGUAAAGUGAUGUUGGAAAGUAUGGCCUGAAGAGCUAGGAGUUCAUUGUCCUGUUCGAAGCUGAGGGGUGGACAGAACCCCAUCAUCGGGUGAGUGGUGAAACGUCGAAACCAAGACAUGACAGAAAUGUGCUUGAUUGUCGAUAAAGCGUGCAGAUUAGGGAAUUGUUUCCGCAGCGAGAGCUCCCCAUACUAGUUUUUUUGUCAUCUCACAGAAGGUCAAUACAUUCUCAAUGUAAACCAGUUAACCACAUGAAAGAAAUUUUGUUUUGAACAUUCUCAGAGGACUGAAUUUUUGUGCCAAAUUUGUAAUAAAAAGGGGCUGCAACAUGUACUUGCACUGGUAGUUAAGCUAAGCAUCAUCAUUAAUGAGGUACACUAAUUAUAGUAGAUCUUGGUCCAAAUUAAGUGCACAAACGAUACUCUAUUUGUUUAUUCGAAUCUCACAUUAGGUUUAGUGAAUCUUCCUCAACUUUCAAUAAUCUGACAAAAACUGAGGGGCUGAGGUGCCCCUAAUUUCUUCUUUACUCUUAAACAAAAGUACUUCGCUCAUAAACUAGUUUCAAAAACUAAAUAGGAGCAAAGUAUCUUUGUUUCAAAACUACGUUGUUCUCUAGUAGAGAGUCUUAAUAUGAUGAUAAGUACUUCAUAUAAGAAAAUAAUAAUCUCAAACACUUGUUAACACUAAACCCGCUGGGUGCUGCCCGAUUUGGAAAGGAAUUCUCAGCAUCGCUGCACCUUUUCAUUCUUCUCUUUACUUGUCACUUGGUAACGAAAAGGUUGCGUCGUUUUGGAAUGCUAUAUGCUGUGGAGAUUUUGUCCCGCGGAACCAAUUUCCCAACCUAUAUGCCUUAUCGACCCAUAAACACCUCUCGGUCGAAAACUGGAUUCAACAUUUUGCUUUGCGCACCAAUCACAAUGCCUAGUGGAACAGGAUGAGCUUCUGCAGUUCAAUACGCUGAUCCACGACAUUUUGCCGUCUGAUUCUGAUGACUCGACCAUUUGGCGAUGGAAUAUUAACGGCAGUUUUUCGGUACGGAACGCCUAUGAUUUUCUUAUCUUUAAUGGAUAUGGAAACUCAAGGUUCCUCUCAGAGUCAAAUUAUUUAUGUGGUCAGCUGCGAGAAAUUGAGUUUCGACGGUCGACACACUUGCUAGGCGAGCCCAUCGAUCUGUGUGUUAUGCUUAAUUCACAAAUGAAGACAACCUGGAACACAUCCUCUUUUGCUACACCUAUGCGAGGUCCGUGUGUAAUUGGCUUCUUCAAAGUAUUCCGAUCACACAGCACUUGAUGGCCAACUUUUCUGGAGAUAUAGCGAGUCGGUGGAAAUGAGUAAGGAUGUCAUUGGUGGGACUACCAAAAAAUAAUUUUGAUCUCUAUUUUACAGCGGCUUGCUGGGAAUUGUGGAAACAGCGGAAUAUGAGAAUUUUCAUGAACGCCUGAUUCGAAGGGAACAGCUGGGAAGAAGAGUCCGUUGCACGGUGAAACUUUGGAUAUCUGUACUUGGGCCCUGAGACUGCUUAUGCUUCCCUCUUUUUUUUUGUUUUUGCUAUCUUUUGUGUUUCUUCAUUGUUCUUUUUAGCCAUAGUUGGCUCAGAGUUGUUGUGGUUGAGUUUGCUUUGCGGACGAGCUUGCUUUUCCCCCAGUGAAUUGUAGGUUGUAUGUUUUUCUGCUCAAAUAGGGAAUAUCCCUGUUUAAUCGAAAAAAAAAAGAUGCCGGAAUCACCUAUAUAUUCCGGCGCAGAGUGCACAACAACUCAGGAAUCUAAAUCGCGGAGUUUACACAACAUCAAUUGAUUUUAAUAGUUCCCUCCUAGCUAGUGAGAGAAUAUAAACUAGCCUCGCGAGCGAAACCUAGAUGUAAUGAGCUUCUUUCAGAUAGAUGCUUCUUAUUGUUAGUUAAGAUCUUGGCCUUAACUUCAACUUGGACACCGACAAUGGUGCGUGUUAAAUAUGUCUCGAAUUCUAGUACCGCAAGGUCUUCUAGCCCUAUUCUGUUUUAAUUAUCCCAUUAGGUUAAGUUUAGAUUAUGCCUAAUUUAUUGAGAUAUUCCUAAUCUUAGUGGGUUUGUAUUCCUAAUCGUAUUUAGAUUUAGCCACUAUUAUAAAUAUACCCUUUCCGCUAUUGAUUUAGUGCGGAAGAUGAGAGAGAGAAUAUGGGUGUAUUUUUUGGGAUUAGAGUUUUGUGAGAGGGGCAUAUUUUGUACAUCACUUUGAUUAUAAUGAAGAUCUCCGCUCCGUCUUCGCCCGUGGACAUAGACCGUUGGCCGAACCACGUAAAUAUUGUGUGCUUUAUUUUUCUUCUCUUUUUUCUCGGAUCUCUUUUGGUAUUUUCGCAUCCGACGAACUAGAUCUUCUUGGUUUUAGUUCUAACAAACUGGUAUCAGAGCCGAAGUGUUCGUUUGGGUGUUUAAGACGUCGAUGAAUUUGAGAUCGAGAAGUUUGAUCGCUCUAGCAGUUUCGCUCUACGACAAGUUGUCGUUCUGAUGCAACAGAGAUUGCAAAAGGCGUAGUUGGAGAUGAGAAGAUUGGCACUUCAAAGAAUCCCGCGGAUUUGCUCAUUAAGUUUUUAGGCGAUCAAGGUCAAGUAUUCCGUAAACUUGUUCGCAUGUGCAGUAGCACUUCAGGAGCUCUUGGGAUUUUGGUGGAGAAGACAUAGAAUUCAAGCCAAGGUAGAGAUUGUUAAAUAUGUCUCGAAUUCUAGUACCGCAAGGUCUUCUAGCCCUAUUCUGUUUCAAUUAUCCCAUUAAGUUAAGUUUAGAUUAUGCCUAAUUUAUUGAGAUAUUCCUAAUCUUAGUGGGUUUGUAUUCCUAAUCGCAUUUAGAUUUAGCCACUAUUAUAAAUAUACUCUUUCCGCUAUUGAUUUAGUGCGGAAGAUGAGAGAGAGAAUAUGGGUGUAUUUUUUGGGAUUAGAGUUUUGUGAGAGGGGCAUAUUUUGUACAUCACUUUGAUUAUAAUGAAGAUCUCCGCUCCGUCUUCGCCCGUGGACAUAGACCGUUGGCCGAACCACGUAAAUAUUGUGUGCUUUAUUUUUCUUCUCUUUUUUCUCGGAUCUCUUUUGGUAUUUUCGCAUCCGACGAACUAGAUCUUCUCGGUUUUAGUUCUGACAGUGCGAGUACAUCAACUGAAAACCCCGAGCACACCAUUGACAAGUAUCGACGCUAUGCGUGGAAUCAGUGGAGCAUUCCUGCUGAGAACAAACACAUCGCUCAAUACGAUCAUGUUUGAAAACACCGAGAGAGACUUUAACAAAGAGAAAUAGUUCACAUUUUCACUUAUUAUAAUGUCGCUAAGGACAUUAAUCUCAAAAUCCUAGCCACAAAUAUAAUAUCUAUAUGUGAUCAACCAUUCCUCUACAAGCUAUAGUUGACAGAGAAAAAGUCAGGAUGAUACUUAAUCUAUUUAAUGUGGAUUGAAAACUUCAUGUAAACUAGAUAUUAACCUUCGCAAGACUAUGUUUUGAUCUGUGUUAAACUUACAGAUUAUAAGAGAUAAGAAGAAUUAUAAAAGAGCUUUUCCACAGACAAAAAAUCAAACAAGAAAUUUAUGACGGAAAUUUAGAUUAAUUAUUACAUAUGAUAACUUUUUCUCAGAAGAUUUUGACAAUCGAAGAAAAACAAUAGUGAGGAAUAUAAUUAAUAGCUCCGCACUAUCUCCAUAUGACUUUAUGAACAACUAUUCAUAUGGCUAAAACAUACUUGGGUAACUUUCUUGCGUGGCGAUUGGGAAAAGCUCUUUUGGCAUAUCGAUUUUCUGAAAUUCAGGCUCUGAAUCUUCUGCUCUGAUGUCACUCGAGACCACCGAUUUCUCUAAAAGCAUAUGCUGCCGAGAAUGGCAUCAAAUGUUUGUAUAUUAUAUUGGCUAAUAAUUUCUUUCAUCAUCAGUCUUUCUCUGAAACAAAUGCAUGAGGACAGCAGAACUAAUUCCUUCUGAACAAAUGGGGCUGGCAGUGAGUUGCUUUCAUCUAGGAAUAAGAUGUCAACUACUCCAAACAAAGUCUCUUAUUUGAGAUGGUGAGUUGUCAUCUCCAACUACCAUUUGUGAAGCUAGGAGGGUGACAACAGAUUUUUGUUCCUAUUGUGUAGGAUUGGUUAUGACUUGUGAAUCUUCAGUAUGAGUUUUGACAAAACACAUUCUCUUGUUUUGUGGUUUGAUAUAUAUAUAUAUAUGUAACCCAUACAGUUAGCUGAUGAACCUAAAGCAUUUCACUACAUACUAAUUAAUUAGAAGUUAACCAAAAACAAAAAUCCAACAGUAAUGAACAAAGUAGUUACACAGAUGCCACAUCUUUGGAGACCAAAAUGAUACAUAAUACAGACUCUCAUCAGUAGUACUCAUGAAAUUUAUGUGGAAAAAGCCGUGAAAUCCAUCACAAGGAGAGUUGUAAUUUCAACUGGAGUUGAACUACCAGAUAAUUAAACUUAUAUAUAUAUAUAUGUAUAUCCAAAUUCUAAGAUGUUUCAGAUCAUCAUUACGCUGUUUAAAAAACCAAGAUAUAUCACACAGGUAUUGCAUGGAAUUGGCUUUUUUCUGACGCAGAUAAACAAAGAAAGAGUAGAGAAAAUUUUAAAAAAAGAAGAAAAGGGAGAAGAGAACUCUUGAUUAAUUCUUAAUGCAUCAGGACCUGCAAAACAAGUGACAAAGAGGAGGGAGAUCCCACAGCAAAUCGCAGGGAUCGAGCACCGUCUCAAAGUACUCCUGAACCCCGUUCAUCGCGUACAGCGAAGCCGAGAUCUGCCUCUCCACCCUCAUCCUCUCAAACUCCGAGACCUCCGGGUUGAUCAGGUUGGCCAACUCACCGUAUCCGUCGAACACGGCGAGGCGGUCGAACCCGGCUUCGAAUGCCCAGGAUUGAUCGGCGUGCGCAGAACCGAGACGAGCAUCUUCACUUCCAUUGAUGAAGUAAGGCCUGAACACCUCAUGAUCAGUGCUCAAUUGGGUAUCAUGCUUCAUGUCACCACAAGGAGUUGCACCAGUACUAACUGUUCCAUUUGUCAUAGUUUCACUUGUAGCAGCAGUGCUUGAACAUGUUGUAGCAGCAGUGCUACUAGUGCUAAUACUAGUAUUUGUGAUAGAGGUGGAAUUGCUUGGAGAAGUGUUACUCUUCUUGAGCUUCUUGUGAUCGAGUAGGCUGCGAAUUCGCGAGGCGAGCGGGGAGUUGGGGGACGACGGAUGCGCGACGAAGUUGGUCCGGGUGUUCGAACCGCGGAGCAGGCAGGCAGCCUCGUCGUAGGCCCGCGCCGCCUCCUCGGCCGUCUCGAAGGUGCCCAGCCACAUCCUUAUCUUCUGUGUUGUGUCCUUUAUCUCUGCUACCCAUCUCCCUGAGGGCCUUUGCCUCACACCAACAAACUUGCUGCUGCUUCUGCUUUUCCCUUUGAGCUUAUUGUUAGGCUUGUUAGAAGCAGCUGUGCCUAAGUAGUACUGUUGCUGUUGUUGUUGUUGUUGUUGUUGUUGCUGUUGUUGUUGUUGGAAGUGGAGUUCCAUGGAGUUUGAUUCUUUCCUUUUUUUUUUUUUUCUCUUUUGUUGGUGUUUGUAGGAUUGUGUUGAGGGAAAAGGAGGGGGUGGAAUGAUGGAUAAAUUUGAGAGGAAUGGAGUGGUGGUGGAGAUUUUUAAGUGAAAGAUAGUGGGGGAGUUGUCAUGUUGUGAAUGUUGUCUACAUGUUAUUUGGAAAUUUAUAGAGCUUUGGGGGAACAAUGACUAGGUUUCCUAUGAGGAGUCUACAGUUCACUUGCAUUGUUUGUUAGGAAAAAAGUUUGUGGUGAACAUGUCUAUGAUCAUUUUUUUUUUCUCCCCAUGUGGUUUUACCAAAUCGCCCUUCAUUUGCAUGGUCUGAGAUAUCAUGUAUUUUUUUUAUUAAUUUACAAGGUAAAUUGUGUGUUACAUGCAGUUCCCAUAAAAAUUAAUCUUGUAUCAUUAGCACUGUACUUAAUUUUUUAUUUUGGCUUUGAAAAAGCAGGUAUUAUCGCAAAGUUAAUGCGGUUUCGUCCAUCUCACAGCUCUUUAAAUAGUCUCUACCACGAUAAUCAUACAUUCCGAUACAUUGCUCCUAUAUAUAUAUAUAUAUAUAUAUAUAUUGUUGUUUUUUUAUGGCACUAAAUUUUUACAUUUGAAAGAAAAGGGAAAGAAGAGUUUGAAGUAUUACAAUUUCAUUUUUUACGAUUCCUUUGUGAGAUUCCUACUGCGAAAUCAAACAAAUUAAAUCUUGUUGCUUAUACUAAAACAAAUUAAUCACUCAGCAAUUAAUAGAACGGUUUGUUGCCAUUUUUAUAGUAGUUUAAUUCUCUACUAGUUUUCUGUUGUUAAUAAUUAACAAAAUUCAUAGCUAUAUAUAUUAGCUAGAAAAUAUUUUGCGUUAUUAAAUUUAGUUGGUAAAAAUAAUAUACACUUAGAAAAUUAAAAGUUAAACAAGUAUAUAUUAUAUGAAAAAAAAAAGGUUAACAAACCGUUCUUUUUUUUCCUCUCUACAUUAGUUAACUUAAAGUCAUGGGGGGCACGAUUAGCCGCCACGUGGCGGCAUAUGAAGCCUCUAUGCUAGUGUGCUAUGUGACAACAUGGAUGCAUCUGAGGGGUGCAAAACAAAAUUUUUUUAAAAAAAAAGGAAAAAAAGAGAAGGGCAAAAACAUGUAUGGAGGCCCCCUGAACUAUUUAAUAUUUUUAUUAACAAUGUCUAAAACAUUUAUUUGGAUGUUUUUAUUAACAAACUCUAAACAAAAAAAAAAAAAGUAAUGGGAGUGUAAAUCAAAAGAAUUAGGUCUCAUCGGGAUGUCGAAUUUCUUUCUUUUUUUUUUUGCGAAAUUUGAAGUAAUUAUCAGCUUGAUCUUUGCUUUGUAAGAAUUAUUGGUAUUUAUGAUUUGACAGCAUAGUAUAUUAAUUUUGGGGUAAACUUCAAAUACCCCCUGUGGUUUCAUACUUUCUCACUUUAGUACCAUGUGGUUUAAAGUGUAUUAAAUUAACCCCUGUGGUUUCAUACUUUCUCACUUUAGUACCCUGUGGUUUAAAAUGUAUCAAGUUAGUACCCUGUCGUUUUAUUUUUCUCUUUUUAUUAUCCAUUUCACUAAUUUUUUUGUUAAAUCAGUGACAAAGUAAAAAUUAAGGAGUACUAGAGUGAAUAUUCGAUAAACCUAGAUAGGGUAUCUGAAGUUUUUUGUAUAUAAUUUAAUGAAAUAUUAACAGAGGAAAAAAAAUUAGUGACAAAGUUAAAAUUAAAGGGUACUUGUAACGUAUCACAUCCCCGUAAACCGUGCCGAGUUCCGUUGAAAUGGGCGGAAUGCGGAGUUGGGCGAGUUAAAGUGCUUUACAAUGGGUUCUAUGGGCAUUAGAACCAAUGUAUAAGGUAAAGGGACCCGAGAGAGUGAAUUCUGGAAAAUGGCUAAGUCCCAGAAUUUUGGACUCUCGCGGACCGGUCCCUAAAGGAAGACCGGUCCCCGCACACGCAGCAAGAGAAAAGAGAGAAAAAUCGACUAAGUCCUGAAAAUACCCCUUUCGGGAACCGGUCCCUGGUGGAGAGAUCGGUCCCCGUGAGACCGGUCCCUGGUGGGGAGACCGGUCCCCGUAUGCGAAAAUUGCCCAGGUUGGGCUGCUUCAAAUAUUGCAAUGUUGAGGGGUUUAUGUGCAAAUGUCACUUGGGAGAGGUGUAUAUGUUGGUUAGGGCUUAUGUUAGGGUUCACCCACACACAAGAACUUUCCUCUCUCUCUCUCUAAAACCCUCUUUCUCUCUCUCCUCCUCUCUAGAGCUUGGAUCAAGGGAGGGAUUUGAAGGAGCAAAGUUGGAGUAGAAUUUUCCCAAGGUGGUGGCUAGCUUGUGCAAGAGCUUUUGGAGGAAAGCUUUGGAACUCUAAGGUGAGUUUCCAUCUUUUGAGCUAGGGUUUGGUCUUAUGCUUCUAGUAGUAGCAUCUAGGAGCUUCUAUGAGGGUUUUUCUCUAUAGUAUACAUGCUAGGGACCUAUAAUGGAGAAGAUGAUAUUGUUAAGGGACCCAAAAUUGGGGUUUUGUAAUUAUGAGGUCGAAGCGUGGGAUUGAUCUCCUUUUUACCUAAUUGGUAGGUCAACGAACGCGUUGGUGCACUUGGUUCGGCGAUACGACGCGCGUACGCGGAGAUAUUGAGGAAACAAGCUAAGUUGGUACGGUUCGUCGCAAUUCACGGCGUAGGGGGGGCUAAGUAAAUUUCAAGAAAUUGCAUUUCAGCAUUCUUGUAACACGAAUAGGUGGGGGGUGCUAUCCGGAAUCAUCGAAUUCGCUUCUAUGUCUAAGUCACUUUAUAUUGAACGUAUUUGUAUAUUCCAUUCAUGCAUAUAGGGUAGAGAAUAUGUGAUUGUUGGUUGAAAACUCAGUUAUAUGCUUCUAAUGUAUUUGAACAUAUGAAUUGAUAUCGAACCAUGAGGACUAUGUAUGUUGAACCCUAUAUGUGUGUGAAUGUGUGAGUUGGACUAUGAUAAUAGUGAAGAAAUGUGACAUUGACAUUAGCGACGAGAUUGGCUUUCAGUGGUGAGAUGUUGGACUUGAUCUAACCUAUUGUGGCAUUGUGGCAAAUAUAUUCUAGAGAAUGGAGUAAAUGACAAGUUAAGAACCUAAUGGUUCAUUGUGGCAUCGAGGCGAGUGGCAUAUGUGGCUAUCGUUCCUAAAGCGGGAAUUGGAUCAUACUCACAUGAGUCUUGGCUCUAGGGCGGUAGCUCCCCCUCGAGCGGUGCUUUCCGGAAAUGACACCACUGGGAGAGAGGUCCCAGAAGAUGGUCCCUCGGGUAGUAGUGCUUGGAGCCUCCCCGGAUGAUUGGGAUUUUGGGUUGUGAGUCGGGGUAAACCAGGAGCACCCCGUGAUGCUUAAUUGGAUAAAAGCCAUGUGAAUUUUUAUAUCAUGCAUGCAUGUAUCAUAUUUGAGUUUAUAUAUAUGCUGACUAUCUUUUUUGCAGGCAUAGUAUUAGUAGUAGCAUUAGUGGGUUUGCUAUAUCUAUUUCUUUGAAUACUUAUGCCUGGUUAGACCUAGUGGGUAAGUCGGCGGGGUCGGCGGCCGAACCCACUGGGAACUUUAUUUUAGUUCACAUUACCAUUAACCCUACAGAUCCGAGCGCGAGCGAGGCAGCGGAGGAUCGUGGCAAGGGUUUAGCGCCGUAGCUAGCGGCCACCAGAGUAUAGGCAUUUCCCUAUGUGUAUAGUUCAACUUUUGUAUGUUGAAUAUAAGUGAGAAAAGUUGUAAUCAUUAUUUUGGGUUGUAAGAUAAUGUGAUGUAAACAAUAUAUGGAAAAGAAUGGUUGUAAUAGUGCUUGUAUUUGAUUAAAAGGUAAUCAAAUAUGAUAUGAUGGUUGUAUGUAUAGUAUAGUAGUCAGAGCUUUCGCUACUUGUGUUGUUGCUUGCCUUCGUGCAAGCCUUGUGCAAUUAUGUUCACUUUGUGCUGAAAUUCUUGAUUCUACAUGUUGUUGGAGUCUUGGACGGACAGGGGAGGUGCUGUCCGUUCGGCGUCUGUCGACGUGGCCCGAUUCCGACCAAAUAGGCGGAGCUCGGGGCGUGACAGUACUAAAGUAAAUAUUCGAUAAACCUAUGUAGGGUAUCUGAAGUUUUUUAUAUAUAAUUUAACAAUAUAUUAACAGAGUAGCUGACGAAAAGAGAAAAUGAAACUACAGGGUACUAAAUUGAUACACUUUAAACCAUAGGGCACUAAAGUGAGAAAGUGCGAAACCAUAGGAUACUAAAUUGAUAUACUUUAAACCACAUAGUACUAAAGUGAAAAAGUGCGAAACCACAAGGGUGGUAUUUAAAGUGAGAAAGUGAGAAAUAGGGGGUGGAAACGAGCUGAGCUCGAGCGAGCUUACCUCGGCUCAAAUUCGGCUUGAAAUUAAUUUCGAGCCUAAAUUUAAGCUCAAGCUUGGAUUGAAAUUAAUUCGAGCCGAGCUCGAGCGAGCCUAAUUUUAAGUCGAGCGAGCUCAAGCCCUAAACGAGCCGCUUGAAAUUCUCAACAUUAUACGAUCAAUAGUUUAAUUUUUAUAGAACAUUAUCUAUAAUUUGAUACAAAAAUAUGUCUAAUAGUUCAAAGUACAAAAUAAUUAUAUGAAAUAUAGUAUUAUAAUAUGAAAAAAAAUAAUUUAUGGAGUGGGGUGAGAUAUCUAAUUUUUCAGUCUCCACAUGUCUUUUCUUCCGCCUUCAAUCUCUAUAUAUUAUUCAUUUUUAUUUAUGCAAUCAAAAAUAAAUAAAUAUAUAGAUAAAUAUUAGAUUAAACUAUCCAAUCAUAUAUAACUAAAAUUAAAAUUUUAUAUGAAUAAUAAUUUUUUACUUAAAAAAUAUUCUGUAUAUUUUCUCAAACAUACACAUUAAUAGCAAGGUAGGCAACCGGCGGCAUAUGAUUAUUAACUUGGUAACUUAGAGGGCUUCCGGCUUGGCCACUUAGGGUAAGAGACAGAAAAAGAGAAAGAAAGAACAUAUUGAAAUUUAGAGCUCUGUGAAAGAAAGAAAGAAAGAAGAAGAAAAAAAUAUUAUAAAUUAGUAAAAUUUUGCUCUUUAUUUGUCUAUUGGGUUUGUUUUAUAGGUCAACAUAUUGACUAUAAUUUUAACUAAAUUCAGAUUAUUCAACUACUAAUAUAUAAAUAUUAUAUUUAUUAUUUAUAUAUAUAAUUAUAUAUAUGUUUUAUUAUUAUAAUAUAUAUAAUAAAAUUAGUGUAGAACUACUAUGCUAUCGAAAAUAUAGAGGAUUUGAUGUUUUUGAAUUUUUGACCCUUUGAUUAAAAAUUGUAUGAUUGGGAUGAUUGCGGUCUCCCGUAGGAUUAAAUAAUACUCUUAGGAUUGAGUGGUCCCUACAAGGUAAUAAUAAUAUUAAUCGAAAGAUAAGAAACGAUUAAAGAGAUUGAUCUAAGAAUCAAAAAAUCGAAAGCACCAGACCUCUAUACUUUCGAUAGCAUAGUAGCUCUACUAUAUAUAUAUAUAUAUUCGAGCUUUUCGAGCUUUUCGAGCCUAAUUCGAACGAGCCGAGUAAUACUCAAGCUCUGCUUGAAAUGAAUUUUGAGCCUUUUUUUUGUUCAAGCUCGGCUCAUUUAAUUUCGAGUCGAGCUCGAGCGAACCAAAUAUCGAGUCGAACGCGAGUCGAACGCGAGCCGGCUCGCUCAUUUGCCAGCCCUAGUGAGAAAGUGUGGUAUCUAAAUUGAUGCACUUUAAACCACAGGGCACUAAAGUGAGAAAGUGUGAAACCACAGAAUACUAAAUUGAUACACUUUAAACCACAGGGUACUAAAGUGAAAAAAUGCGAAACCACAAGGGUUGUAUUUAAAGUUUUUCCUUAAUUUUAUCUACAAAAUGAUUAUCUUAUUACGAAAAAAUGACCUGAAUGUUGAAUGUAAAAUUUUCAUUCUAAACAUGUGAUCACACUCUUUAUCUACUAAAUGUUACAAGCUUCUUGAUUAAUUCGAAGAGAUAUGCCAAUAUGAAUACGCACGCAUCCAAACAAUGACUCUUGAUAGAAUAAUAUAUUUUAUUUACGAGAUGAUUAUCUUUUUAUGAAAAAAUGAUUCGAAAGGUAAAUAUAAUAUCUCAUUCUAAACAUCUUAUCACACUCUUCAUCCAUUAAAUGUUAUAAGCUUUUUGAUUGAUCCAAAUAGAUAUACUAAACAAGAUGUUCACGCAUUCAUAGGGAGGCUCAGAGUUGUACAUUUUAAUUAACCAAACAAAAGCAAUGAGAUCAAAUACAUGGCCCACAUUCUACAAAAAGACAUGGACAUCAAUAUGCAUGACUCAAAAAGUAUCCAAAGAAACAGCAUCACAGGAGAUGCUCAUAUACUUUUACAAAAAUAAUAUGUAAUGGUGAUGCAUGCUAAUACGCAACUAGGGUUUUUUUUAAUAUGAUAUGGGAGUAUUUAUUUAUUUAUUUAUUUAUAUAAUAAUAAAAUUAGGUUGUGUGGUUUGUUUAGUUGUUAGAAUAGAGUUUAUUGGAGGUCUCAGUCCAAAACUGAUCCAAUUAUGCUACAACAAAACGACACUCUGAUGCUUUUGCAGGUGUAUAGUACCUUUCAAACACUUCAGAUACAUGCUUUACAAGAGGAUUGAGGAUUCAAGGAAAAGUUAAAGGCAAUCAUUUUGCUAACUAGGUAAUGCAACAACGGACUUUUUUACAAAAUAACCCUCUAAAAUAUUAAAUUUAUGAAAUAAUUUUUCUAAAAUUAUAUUUAGAAAACUAAUUCUCUUUUCGCCAUGUAGGCACCAUUCUUGAUAUUUUUUAUGAGGCAGUGAAUCGCUUACCGCCUUUAGUAAAGCGAUGAAUCAUUUACCGAAUGAUUCACCGUUUUUCUAAUAUAACAAGUGUAGACGGUGAAUGAUUUACCGCCUUCAAGGCAAGCAAAUGAGCGAGUUGGCUCAUGUUCGACUCGCGUUCGGCUCGAUAUUCGACUCACUUGAGCUCUGCUCGAAUUUAUUUCAAACCGAGCUUGAGUAUUAUUGGGCUCGCUCGAAUUAGGCUCGAAAAGCUCGACAUAUAUAUAUAUAUAUAUAUAUAUAUAUAUAUAUAUAUAUAUAUAUAUAUAUAUAUAUAUAUAUAGAGAGAGAGAGAGAGAGAGAGAGAGAGAGAGUUAGGCUGGUAUACUAUCGGUAGCACAGAGGCCUCCGUGUUACCAAGUUGUUUUCAAUGAUGCGGCUUCCAAAUCGACGAUCGGCUUCGUUAAACUUGAUCUACACUAUUAAAAAUAUUUGAGAACUAAAUUUUAUAAUUUUUCGACAUCAUUUGGCUAGUGAUCAAAAGGUCUCAAAAUUGACAAUUUUAAUGGUAGAUGUGAUGCGUUUGUGAAUUUAACGGUAUAAAACAAUCUAAAUCUGAUGAAAUUUUUAGAGAAUUUUUUUUUUUUCACUAUUUAGAAUAAGAUCAGUACAUCUGAUCUUAAAUUCAAGUCUUUUAUCCUUAUUUUUUAUAAGAUUUUUAUUUUCACCUGUUUAUUUUUAGACUACUCAUUUGAUAGGUAAAUGAUGCCAAAAAAUUAUAAAAUUUAGUUUUCAAAUACUUUCAAUGGUGUAGAUCAAGUCUAAUGGAACCGAUCGUCAAUUUAGAAGCCGCAUCAUUAAAAACAACUAGGUAGCACGGAGACUAGUAACUUAAAAAGAAGGAAUGUUGAAGGGAUAAGUCUAGUAACUUAAGUAUUAUAGGAAUAUAUUUGUUAUUUCAUAUCUUUGCAAAGAGCCAUAUACAAUUAUCCCUAAAAAAAUUGCAUCAAUUAACUCCCUACAUUUUACUAUUAUCCUACAUUGGUCCAGAUACUUGGACUGGUCAUUGAACUUAGCUAUAAAACUAUAUAAAAAUAAGUUCGUAGAUGACAUUACUUUAAAGUAAUGCAAUAGAAUCAUAUAAAUUAACCAAAGUUGCUUCAGAAACUAUCAAUCUUAAUAGCAUUGAUGAUAGCAAAGAUAUCUUUUACAUUUUUUUGAGUUAUAAAUUAAAUAUAUGUUGAAAUGUGAAAUAAUGUGAUAUGCCAACUCCUUUUUAAAGUUCUAUAAUCCAAUUUGUCAAAUUUUAAAAUUUUUGGAUAUAUUUGGAAUGGGGAUAAAGUAUAAUUAAGUUGUUAAGUGAUGCAAUUUUUAAUGUAAAAAGAUAAUUGAUAUAUAGGCUAAAGUUGUGACACCCUAGAAAUUUAAAAUAGGCCUAUAGAUAAAAUAUAAUAGGUUAAAUCUCAUAAUCUAACUAUAGCAUUUUGGACGGUGGAUAGACCCAAGAGGUUAAGAGGGUUAAGCAUAUUAGAACUGGAGUAGUUCUAGGAUGGGUGACCCUCUGGGAAGUGGGGUGUCGCUGUUAGUAUCAAAGUCAAUCACUAGCCAGAAAUGUAAACUAAGUCUCAGCUGAGCCGAGGUUAUACAAUGAGUAAAGCGUCGCUCCCUAACUGAUGAUGACUGUUGUGAUUAGAGUACGGCUCCCCACAAGGUCAGCUUAUAUUAGUGAGACGAGUCUCACAUUACCUAGUGCUUGUGAAUAUGGUUAAGCCUGACGAGAACUCAGGCUUAAAAUGAGGAACAAUAUGACACCCCAAGAAUUUAGAAUAGCUCUAUAUAUAAAAUAUAAUAUGAGUAAGAAUUUAAGUACCGUGGCACAAGAUUGUGUCAGAAACUUGUCUGCAUGAUAUGGCACGGUGCCUGCCGAUGCGGGUCGGUCACAAAAAAUAUAUGUGUGCCGACACAUAAUAACAUAAAAUAUUUAUUUUCGUUAGCAACAAAAAAUGCUAAUUAUUUAUUAUAUUUUUAUCAACUCUUUUGAACUUUAUUGAGAAAAUUACUUACUAAUUUCAAAAAUAGAGGGUUUUGAGUUGUGCCAUCGGCACGGGGGUUAUAUGUCACGCCCGGGUUCUAGUGGAAGCUUACCCGGUACAUGUACAGACCCGCCAUAUACCUGAAGUAUACAAGGCGUCUACUAAAAUCAUGCUAGAAAAGUAACAGUCAAUAGAAGAGUCUAAUAUGGUAUCAGAGUAUAGAAUGUACAAAAUGUACUAGAAGUACUAAAAGCAAGAGUGUAAUAUAAACAGUAUCUACUAAAGAUACUAGGAAGCAGGAGCUUAAAAUUGAAAAUACAACUCUCCAACAACAUUCAUAUAACACACGAUCACAAAAGAGCUAUAUAUACAUAUGGUGGUCUCUAUAUACGGAUACAAUAUCACCCUCGUCUACACAACCAGAAUAGCGAGGUGAUCACCUAACGGGACUCCAAGCUAUGCCUAGCUAGACGCGACUCCCUUGCCGCGAUCCCUAGCCUCUCCCGCAAUGGAUAGCUCUGUAAAUAAGACAACAAUAAAUAGGGCGUGAGAACUAUUAGUCAAUAGUUCCCAGUGGGUAAACCGCCGACCUCAGCGAAUUACACCACUAGAUUCAUAUAUAAAGAGAAAGCAUGUACAACUACAACAUGAUAGGAAUACAAUGGUAAUAAGCAACUAAUUAGUAAUAAAACUACUAUAUUUCCAAUGCAACAACUAUGAUGCAACAGGUAAAGUAACUACUCUACACAAGUAAGCAGGCUAUAUCAUCUCAUAAAUGCACACUAUCUAGUAGUGACCAUUAUAUCAAUACAAUUUAGUAUCUUUGUUCAAUUCAUAAGAAUCUACACAAGAUAGUCCGGCUUGCGCCGCGCCUAAUGGCCCCGUGGUAGUAAACACUCCUCACGGCAAUCCACUUCGGCACCCAAUCCUGCACGGGCCAGUACGAUGUCGCGUAGGCCAAAUCCGGAGUGCCGGCUUGUGGAGAGCGACCCUCACAAGUAUGUGCAAAUGAGCACAAUGACAAGCAAGCAUGAUCCAUAAUAUAAGGUUCUCAAUCGUCAUGUCUCAAACAUGGAAUGUCCUCUACCGACCUAUAGGUCGGGAUCUAAGUACAAUAUCAAGUGCUAGUUAUCAACUAGAUCAUAGCUAGUAACAUGAAAUUCAUGCUAGUUUUAUCAAUUAUAUGUUGAGUUUAACUUGUCUACACAAGUAUGCUAACCAUUCUAUAGUACAUAUUUUAUAAGUUCAAUGCAAAUGCAAGAACCAAUAGAUUAUAAUAACAACAUGCCAUUCUUGCUAAUCUAAGCAUAUUAUAUUCAUUCGCAACUUGUCUACACAAGUAUAUUCCUUAUCAUGCAAGGAAUUUAAUACUUGUAGCUCUCUACUACACAGAGUAUAACUUGUCAUAUGAUGUAAGUAUUACUAAUACAUCCAACAAUUCACUUAUGAUGCCGUUAGCAAAACAUAUGCAUAAGUCUAGCUCUAUGUCAAGAAUAAGAACAUAGGGGGAAUUCAUCCAUUUCGGUGAGGUCAAACCCACCAAAUACACGUCGACUCCUGUCCGAUCACUCAAGAGAAGAUGCCCAAUAGCUUUCCCAGCAACCUAUCACAAUUCUAAACUAAUUAAGAGCUUCGAUUAAGCUCUCUACCAAGAACUUCAACAGUUUCCCCUAGUAUAGGUAGAAUUGUACCUCACUUAGAACCAAGCUUGAUUCUAACCUCAAUUCAGGUUGGAGCACACCCAAUCCAACCUACAAGAGUCACCAAAACUCAGCCAAAAGAGUUCCAUAAUCCUGCUGUGAGCUAAUACCAAGAACUCCACCCAUACUACUACUAAUACAUCAAACUAGAGAGAGAUUAGGUAGUAUACCUUCCAAAGCUCCAACUCAGAUAUUCCCUGUGUUAGGGUUGAAGAAACAUUGCCAAACACCUCUUCCCACAUUUCAAAAGUUGCUCCACAAGUCUCCAAACCAGCUAGCAACAAGAGAAGGAUAAAAACAAGCUCAAAUCCACCAAUUUUCACUUUCAAUUGGCUAAGACCCUAGAGAGAGAAAGAGAAUAGGUCUUAUCCUGUUCUUCAGCUCAAACACAAUAGAAACCAGCUAGGGGGGUCGACCUGGGGCUUAAAGGGAUAAGCAUUAGAGUGAAUUUACCAAAAAACCCCUUAUCCACAAACUGCUGUAUUGGGUACCGGUACUCGGGCAUGGGGGUACUGGUACUCAAUGCAAAAAAAAAAAACCAGACUUCGAGUUUUCAAUGCUAAAUCACUCCUCCGGCCACUUACACUCCAGUGACAUGCCGAUAAGCUCUCAACAACCCCUCACGAGAUCUAGAAUAGUUCCAAUUACUAUUCUAACACUAGAACUUCGCAAUUUGCUCAAGUUCAGUGUACUACAUUAUAUCAUGGCGAUAUCUUGCUGGCACGAUACGACACAGUGGAUAUGGCACAUAUCGAUAGGCACUUUAAUCCUUGAAUAGAAGUAAAUCUCUUAAUCUGGCUAUAACAUUUUGGGCGGUAGAUAUACUCAAGUCGUUAAAAAGGUUAAGCAUGCUGGAACAUGAGUAGUUUUAGGAUGGGUGACCCCCUGAAAAGUGGGGCGUCACAAAUGUAAAGAGAUAAAGUGAAACUUUUUGAAUCAUAGAGUGACAAAGUAAAAAAGAACUAGACCAUGACAUAGUGUGCACUAGAAUUUUGAUUUUGUGACGAGGGUUAGAUAAUAGAAGGGAAAACUUCAAAUACCAAUCCUGUGGUUUCACACUUUCUCACUUUAUACCCUGUGGUUUAAAGUGUAUCAAUAUAGUGCCCUGUGGUUUCAUUUUAAUCUUUUUAUUAUCGAUUUUACUAAUUUUUUUUAUUAAAUUAGUGACAAAAUUAAAAGUAAAGGGUACUAAAGUGAAUAUUCGAUAAACCUAGGUAGGGUAUCUGAAGUUUUUGGUAUAUAAUUUAACGAAAUAUUAACGGAGAAGCUGACGAAAAGAUAAAAAUGAAAUCACAGGACACUAACUUGAUAAAUUUUAAACUACAGGGUAUUAAAGUGAGAAAGUGCAAAACCACAUAGAUGGUAUUUGAAGUUUACCCAUAAUAAAAACACCACAAACCACUUGAACUUUUGCUCCUUUGGAGAUAGAUAGCUAUGUGAAUUUGGAAACUUUCAUAUUUACAAUGCAACUUUCAAUUUCUCAACUAACACUUAUAAAAUUCUAUUCCAUCAACUAAAAUGUUUAAAUAUUAGCCAAAUCGACAAAAAUACCAAAGGAGGCUUAGGUUGUGUUUGGUUCCACGUAAAACUGUGGAAAAAAAAAUUUUCGAUGGAAAAAAAAUUUUCGGUGGAAAAAAAAGUUUUAUGUCGUUUGUGUCUGGUUUGAAGGAAAAGAAAAAUAGUUUUCCAUGACGAUUGUUUGGUUGAAAGAAAAAGAAAAGUAGAUAAAAAUUAUUUAAUAUAUUUUUUUAUUAUAUAUAUUAUUAAUAUAUAAUAAUUAUUAUAUUAAAUAUAUUAUUAUUAUUAUUUUUAUUUAUAGAUUAAAUAUAUUUAAAAUUAUAAAUAAACAUAUUCCAUAAUUAUAUAUUUAAGAAUAUUAAUAAAUAAUUACAAGUUUAUAAAUAUUUAAGAUUUUUUUUUUUUUUUAGGGGUUCGAGUUGCCCCACUCCUGUAGCCAGUUCAUUUGUCUAAUGAAUGAAGCGGGUAGCGUGCUACCUUUCUCUAAAAAAAAUUAAUAAUUACAAGUUUAUAAAUAAAAUAUUAUAUAAUAGUAUUUUUAUUACAAAAAUAAAUUAUUAUAUAUAAUAAAUAUAUAUUUAUUAAUUGGUUUGUUGGAUUUUAGACUUCAAGAGGAAUCCACGAAGUCUAAUAUUGCAGAUUUUGGUGAAGGUUAGCUUGGUCGAACUCAAGUUCUUCUCUGCUGCUGUUGUUUUGGGCAGAUUCUUAAGUUUAUGAGUUUUCUUUAAUGCUAUCUUUGGAGGCAGGGAGAUUUUGGACCUGAGCUUGAUAUCUCAGUAUACUCCACUGGAUUUGAGACCCUCCUCACCAGAUUUGGAUGUGAUUAGGUGAGUUUUGACAUUGGAGUUGGAUUAAUUAAGCUUAAGUACUGAAAUUAUAGUUAUAUUGAUGGAUUUUGAUCCUGUUAAGGUUUGGAGUUUGGUGAUCUCUUGUUGCUGGACUUGGAGGAACUUCGGUAGAUCCAGUAGGGAUUCUUAGUGGUUCGAGACCUCCUUGCUGCCAGGAAUUGCAUUUGAGGUCGGUAUUUCAUCGGUUUUGCUCCUAAGUGCUUGUGUAGUCGACAUGUAUGAUUUCGGUUCUUGUAUAUCAUGUUGUAGCUCAAAUUCAUUGAUUGUAGCAUGUAUGAAAUCUGAAUUGGGAGCAUGACUAUUAAUUAGAUGAAUAUACAUGUUGGACUUGGAAUUUGACUUAGGAGAAAACCAGCGAUUUGACCCGUCAUAUGCUUAUACUAUCUGAUUUAGCUCUAAGAGUCGGAGUUGGUUUAUAUCACCGCAGUUUCAGCGCGGUGGAUACUCAAGGUAGUUUAGAAUACAUUUACACUCGUGCGAGAUGCCGAGCUUGGGUAAUAUUCAACCGUAGGUUCUACACUAUCUUUUUUGUUCGCUCCUUAAGCUUUUGUGCUUUGUAUCCACGCUGUUAGUGCGCAUUUGAUACUCAGAUAGCUUCUGAAGCUGUUGUGCUUCGUAUCCUCGCUGUUAGUGCGCAUUUGAUACUCAAAUAGCUUCGGGAGUUGUCACGGAUAGUAUCCACACUGUUGUGUGCAUUUGAUACGCUGAAAGCUUAGGAGUUGUAAUAGAUCUGUAUCACCGCAGUUUGUUGGCGGUAGAUACCUGGGAUAGUGUAGAAUGCAGUUACGCUGGUGCGGAGAUGCCGAGCUUAUUUUUACAGCAGUGUCUAGGUUGUUUCGGACUGUCGGAUGCCGUCGGGGUUGACGGUGGACCCAGAUUGCGAGUUUUGCAUUAGAUUGUGCCGAAGGCACGUGAGUUUUGAUUGUUGGACCAGUUGGACCCUUCUUACUUGAUUAUAGCCUGUGAGAGCCUGAUUGAGCUCAGUAGAGAUACGCUUGCAUACUCGGUUUGGUAGCGCCCACGAAUGCCACUCCGGAGUCGGGCUUUGUGCGUUUGCGUUGUGUAGUGUCCUGGUUGGACUUGCUCUCCACGGACUGAUUAGUGUGGAGGUAGCAUUUAGGAUUCGAUAGGCGGGACGGGUGCGUUUACAGUCCUUGGGACAUGUGUGUUCAUAGUCCCUAUGGAUUUGGGUCUGAGGUUGCAUUACUCUACAGAUAGUAGUGUUGGAUCAUGAUAGGAUAGUGGCAUAUAGCUGUAAAUUUGUUCCAGCUUCCUUUUUUAUCACUGAGCUUAGAUCUGUAGAGUUAGUGGGUGAGCCGAUGAGUUUGAGGGCGGUACCCACUGAGGACUACUUCUUUUGUAAUAGUUCUCACGCCCAGUUGUUACCCCUGUUUUGUAGAGUCUUCUGUUCCGGCUGCUGCUUCUACCGAGACCGAUCGUGGCAAGGGCGUUGCGAGUUUGAGCCCUUCCAGACGAGUCGCCGAGCUAGAGGAGUAUUAGCUACAGGUAGUUGUAAUUUUUGGUUCUUUACAUACUGAUAUUGUACAUCGCUGGAGCGAAUGUUUUUGUACCAGGUUGAUAUGUAUGUAUCAAACCACUGUUUUAUAUAUGGUCUAAUUUUUCUAGCAGCUCUAUACUACUGUUUGUAGUAUUGUUUGAUUACAGAUACUUCUACUGUUUCGCUUCGUAUACAGGAAAAAUUCCUAUAUAUACGGCGAGUCUGUUAGCGUACCCGAAAAAACGAGUAAUCCGAGACGUGACACUCUCACACAGUCCACGAGGCCAAAGUGGCCUCGUGGACCGCACAAUGUUUUGCCUCUCAUGAGCUGCGAUUUUAGCCGCUGCCUUUUCGUUUACCGCUGCUCUCGCGCGGAAAACUAAAAGUAAGUUUUUCCCAACAUAUGUAAAAUAAGUUUUUCCAGAAAAAUUUUUUACCUCCAACCAAACAAGCUACAAAGUAGUUUUCGUAGAAAAAUUUUUUUCCGCCCACUUUUACGUCAAACCAAACAUGACCUUACCAAAAAUAUAUCGAGUAUUUCUCCUUUCGAAAGUCAUUGUUGUGGAUAAAAGUUAACUACAAUUAUCACAUUUAGUUCUUGCCAAAUUGGACUAUAAACCUUUAUUUUGGUAACACGAUCCCUAAACUUUACCAAAUAAUUUAAGGGAAGUCAAUAAUUAAGGGUAAGAUGUUUAAAGACUCUCUGAACUUUAGUUCUUUUGUAAAUAAGCACUUGAACUUUCAAUUUUGACAAUUACAUUUCCUAAUUAUAAAAUAAUUUUGAUCAGAUGUCGUGCUCUUAAUCCUGUAAGCUUCAAACUAUAAAAAAAUUAUUUUUCCUCUCUCAAUUUCAAUAUAGCAUGACAAUUGAAGAAUAGAUUGAAUCGAGCUUUAAAUUUUAUUACUUUUUUUAUAUGCUAGAACACAACAAAUAUAUUAUUUGUAUUUCAAAUAUUUAUGCAAUACAUACAGCCAAAAUAAUUAUAUAAAUAAUAAUUAAAAUUAAAAUUAAAAUUAAAAUUAAAAUUUUAACCUACCAUCUCUAAGUUAAAAUUUAGGGUACAUUUCAAAUACAUCCCCUGUGGUUUCGCACUUUCUCACUUUAGUACCCUAUGGUGUAAAGUGUAUCAAUUUAGUAUCCUGUGGUUUUAUUUUUCUCUUUUCGUCAGCUCCUCCGUUAACAUUCGUUAAAUUAUAUACAAAAAUCUUCAGAUAAGGUUUAUCGAAUAUUUAUUUUAGUACCUUUUAGUUUUAACUUUAUCACUGAUUUAACGAAAAAAAAUUAGUGGAGGGAAUAAUAAAAAGAUAAAAAUAAAACCACAGAGUAUUUAAUUGAUACACUUUAAACCACAUGAUAGUAAAAUAAAAAAGUGCAAAACCACAAGGAUGAUAUUUGAAGUUUUUUUCUAAAAUUUACGUUAACCGACCGUCUCUAGUGUAAGUGACAGAGGGCUUGGUAGUUGGUAUAUGAGGUUUUAAGACCCGUCUGGAUUGCUACCGUGUAUUAUUUAUUUUUUUGGCCAUUUGACUAAUGUUUGUCAUUUUAAAUUGACUUAAUCAAACCUUAUGCUUAAUUGCAAAAUUUUAAAUAUAAAAUUUUAAAGUUUAGACAGCUAUUUGCAAACAAACUCUUACUAAUGUGUUGAUGCCAUGUUUAUUGUCAAUCAGAUAUUCAGCUUCGUUUGGUUCGAAUAUAAAUAAAAAUUAUUUAUUUCAGGAAUAAAUAUAAGUUCAGAUAUAAACAAAAACUGGAGUAAGUUUUUAUUUGGAUAAAAAUUAAAUUGUUUCUAAAAAUAAGCUAAAUAGUAUUUGGAUGGUUAGAUUGGAAUAUCGAAAAUAAAAAUAAUUGUAAUUUUAAAUUAAUAUUAUUUUAUCUAAUUAAUUAAUAUCAAAAUAUUAAUUAAAAAUAAUUUAAAUAAAUAAAAAAAAUUAUUAGCUAUGAAUAUUGUAUAAGAUAAUAAAAAAAUAUUAAUUAAUUAUAUUAACUAAUUAUAAAAUAUAACUUAACUUUUGAAAUAAUUAGUAAAUUAUUUAAUUAGUUAGAUGAGUUGUUAAGAAAUUAAUUUAAUUAGUUAAUAAAUAUAAAUAUUAAUUAUUAGAUAAACACAUUAAAUAAUUAAUUCUUAAUGAGCUAAUUAACUACGAAUGAUUAAUUACUUAACUAUUUAAAUAAUAGAUAAUGACUUAAUUAUAUUAAUUAGAUGAAUUAACAAGUUAGUAUAAUAAUUAAAAUUAGAUUUAAACUUUAACUAAGCUUGCUCCCAAGCUUGUUCUAGGGGAGGAUGGAAUAGUUGUUGCACCCUUAUUCUCCCUUAUUUAUAAUCAUGGAACAAUUUCUUUAACCCCAAAUAAAGAGUUUGGCCUAUUUAAUAUAGCUAUUUUUUUUUAUUGUUAUUUCAUCAGAAAUUUUAAUUUCAUUUUAAUUAUCCAUGGCCCUGUUUUAUCAUUGUGCACUUUGUCCUUUAUAGUGGAGUAAUGUCCAGUAUGCUUAGGUGUAUACAGGAAAAGAUAAAUUUUUUUUAAUAAAAGUACCAUAAAUGUAACUUUUCAUUUCUUAUUUAGUAUAAACUUAUUGAAAAUGGAAGUAUAUCAAACUAUUAUUCUUGGGUACAUGCAUGAGUCGAGUAGUUUAAUUCAAAUUCUCAUUUGAAUAAAUUGGUUUAAUGUCUAAUGCAUAGAAAAUUUGUUUAUAUCUAUCGUUCAAUAAAUUUCUGCCUGAAAUUGAUCACUAUUUUUUCUUAUUAGAAAAUAAUUUUUUAUAUUUUGCGAAUGUUUGAUGGAGAUUUGAUGGAGAAAGUGAUGGAAAUUUUGCUAAUUAUUUAUUUGCUAUUUUAGACCAAACUUAUCUUGCCGUUUCUGCUGGGAUUUUUGCAUAAAUUUAAUGACAUCACAUAAAAGACAAUGAUAUCACAUAUAGGCAAUAAUAUUUGGUAUCAUUUUUUUUCCUUUCCUGAUUAAUUUCGUUAUAUUUUUUUAAAGCGUGUACCUAUUAUCAACUUUUAGUGAAGUGAGACAAAUGUCUAUCACUCCAGUUUGAAUUUUCUACUCAUUUUCCACUUAAUUUUUUUUUCUUAUUUUUUUGAGAGAGAUAGUGUGCUGUCUGUUUGCUUAUUUUUUUAGAAAUAAAUUUAGCAACAAAUAUGAAGCAAGCAACUAGGCUUCGAAUUUGAAACUUCAGAUAUCAACGCCAUU
This 44834-nucleotide long non-coding RNA is filed under the name Ananas comosus (pineapple). RNAcentral's name for it is "long non-coding RNA (ACOM_LNC014834)". Lineage: Eukaryota; Viridiplantae; Streptophyta; Magnoliopsida; Poales; Bromeliaceae. The record is from RNAcentral.